This 45215-nucleotide long non-coding RNA is filed under the name Cucumis sativus (cucumber). RNAcentral's name for it is "long non-coding RNA (CSAT_LNC002348)". Lineage: Eukaryota; Viridiplantae; Streptophyta; Magnoliopsida; Cucurbitales; Cucurbitaceae. The record is from RNAcentral.
CCCUAUAUAUGUAAGAGAGAGAAAGGUUAGAAAGUACUAACACUAAGAGAUAUGUGCUAUCAAUUAGAAACACUUUAAGAUGACAUUAUCAAUUAGAAAACCAAGUAUUAAGCAGCAUAAGGGAAAAUAACAAACAAGGGCACCACAGUGGUUCAGAAACCAAUCAAUAUUUCCAUUUGUCACUUUUAUAAUAAUUUCCCAAGGGAAAAUCCUCAUAAUAAGCUUGAGUACCACCUAAUAACGUGUUCAAAUGUUACCAUAAGCAAAAAUGAGUGAUCCUAAAAUUCAUAUGACAAGGAAAGUCGUCAACUAGCAAACCGCCAAAUAACAGUUAUAUGGCUAGAAUUAGUUUUCUCCAACUUCAAGAAAAUAAAACAUAUUAAAACAAAAGGAAUUAUGGUGCAAAAUAAUGAAUAUGCUGCAAAGGUAAGAAGUUUCUGAAGGUAAAAAUGGUCAAUAAAAAACAACAUAUAAUUUGACGUAAAUCAAAGUAGAAUUAUUUCUCGCAAUGAAUUCUCUGCCAAUAAUGGCUAAGAGAAGGGGUAUUUAUUGAGAAUUAGUUAACCAGGCAGAAAUCAUCUAGGGCAUAGUAUUGUUUUAGGUCUGCGACAUUAAAAACAUAAUGAAUGUGUAAGUCUGGUGGUAGUUCUAUUUUGUAAGCAUUAUCUCCGAUCCUCUUUAGGACACGGAAUGGUCCUAAUUGUCUGUCUUUUAGUUUGUUGUAUGUUUCGAUUGGAAAUCGAUUUUUUCUUAGGUGAAUCAUUACUAAAUCUCCCUUGGUAAAGGUAGUUUGUCUUCUUUUUCUGUCUGUUGCGUCUUUGUAGGACUGAGUUGUUUCUUUUAGGUGAUUGUGGACUUCUUCGUGUAAAUUCUGGAUUUUUUCUAUCAUCUUUUCUGCCUCUGAUAGUUAGGGAACUCAACACAUUUUACUUGACCUAACCAAGAUGGCUCUUUGUAUGUAUAUUGCAUGUGUUGUUUGUUUUUUUCUAUAGCUCUUGAUUGUCUCACUUUUUUACGUUUUGCAUUUGCAAUUCUCUUUUCUUUCUUUGGUAUGCAAUGUGGUAACAAGGUCUUGCUAGAACCGGUGGGCUAACCUUUCUAUGGUUCUAAACUUAGUUUCUAAGUUUGACUGCUCCCUUCGGAGUGACAACAAGCCUCGUUUUCCCCUACUAUGGAACGGGGAGGAUUCAUUUUCUUUUCAAAGCCCUCGUCAAACUCAAUGCUAAGUUUGACUGCUCCCUUCGGAGUGACAACAAGCCUUGUUUUCCCCUAAUGUGGAUCGGGGAUGAUUCCUUCUCUUUUCAAAGCCCUCAUCAAACUCGAUGCUGUGCUUAGAACGCUAAGAGUAGGUGGUCUGGUUUUGGUUAGGCCAAAAGUGAAGUUUUCCCCCAUUUUUUAUGGGCUUUUUCUAAUGUAUAUUGGAUAUGUUGUUUGAUUUUUUUUAUAGCUCUUGAUUGUCUUACUGUUUUAUGUUUUGCAUUGUCAAGUCUCUGUUUUCUUUCUUUGGUAUGCAAUGUGGUAACUAGGCCUUGCUAGAACCGGUAGGCUAACCUUUCUAUGGUUCUACAUUUAGUUCCUAAUUAAGUUUGAUUGCUCCCUUCGGAGUGACAAUAAGUUUUGUUAAUGUCGACCCUUUUCUAAAGGGAUUUAGUUCACUGUGGCUAGGCAAGAGGUUUCUAACUCAUGUUUGACAAGACAAAUUUGUUAAAACCAUCUUAGUUUCUAAAGAGUGCCUCCUAUCCCUUUUUUACUCUAUCUAGGCUAGGUUUGGACUAAGUGCAUCAUAGGUAAGUCACGACAAAGCAACAAAGGAAGACAAAGCUAGAAAAGUAUUCAUGCACUUAUUUAUUAUACAUGCAAUCAAGCAUUCACAACAUACAUACCAUUUUCUCAAUCAUGCAUUCACACCUCAAUAAGAAAUAGCUAAAAGGAGCUUACAACAAAAAAGACAGCCGCUUAUUCUCAAAUUUCAGCACAUAUACUCAUCAAAAUUUAGAAUUUCACAUUGCAAACCCGAGCUCAGUGCUCAAGGGUUGCCAAUCAUGCUUUUUAUGCAAGAUCUAAUUAAGCUAAGAAGGUAUAAUGCUCAUUUUGUAUGGAAAGAAUUCUGAAAUUUUUUUUAAAUUUGGGCAAAAUUUGAACCCCGAAGUUUAGACUAAACAUGCAAGCUAAGCAAGCUAUUACCCACACCCACUCAAAAAAUUGCUUUGUCUGUCCUAAAAGCUUUUGAAAAUCAAAGUAAAUGGAGAAAAAUAAGGGGGGAACUUUGGACUCCCCUAGAAGGAUCGACAUCCUUGACUUUGGUUUGAAGCUUGCAUGGAUAAACCUUUUCAUUCCUUUUUAAUUGAUUAUUCAUCCUUGUUCCUGAAAAUCAAAGGAAAUUCUCUCAAUUUUAUAUAUUACUAAAAUUAGGAUACAUAUAAGUCUUAACUAGUCUAAUAGCACCCUCCAUUCAUCUUCCCCUACACUGGCUAUGGUAUCAAAAUUUUCAAUUAAGUAAUACGUCUACUAACGAACUUGAAAACAAAACACAUCACACUAAAAAACACAAACAUCACUUUAACCCAACAGAAGCUGCUCUUUUUACCCUUGCACUCACUAUCACAUUACUAUCAUGUUUGUCAACUGUCAAACUAACUCUUUUAAGUUAUUUAGUGUGACUACAAAGUUAUGAACACCAUAAUCUUAAUUAAAACCUUUUAAUAAACAAAUGCCAAGUUACUACUCAACAAUGGCAAGGAAUUCAAAAAACAUGACUGUAACGACCCAACUUUUCUAGGUAAGUCGAAGUCAUUAAUUUCAAAUAAGGACCUGAGUUUACACAAAAUCUCAAUCUCAAACAAUUUCAAAGUCUCAAGAAAAACAAAAAUUUAUAUCUGGGCCCUGUUUAAAAUAACCAGCACCUUCAAGACAAAUUUACUAAUUCGUGAAUACAAUUCAACUAUAAAAUUUUCUAAACAAUCUCAAGUACUAAACAAAACACGUGAAACAAAACAUUUAGCGGAAGCAAUUUAAAAUAACCCCUAUGGCAAUCACGCUUCCUUUCUGCCCCUCGCCGGUUUGCCGUCUUUAUUAUCUUUGCCUGAAAAUUAAAUAUAAGGAGGGUGAGUAUAAAAAUACCCAGUACGAGACCCUCUACUGGUCCCGUCAGGGUAAAAUAAAUUGUUAACAUUCUAUUGGGACACCCUGUACAGUCACAGUCUUGUGAUCCCGUAGGAUGCACAUUUCAGUCUAACGCCCCGAGGGACGUACAUUUCAGUCUAGUGUUCUGCAGAAACACAUAUCAGUCUAAUGCUCUUGAAGGUGCAGAAUAAUUGGUGAUCCGUGUGACACCUACAAGGCACACAUCCCAAUAAAAGCUAACAAUUUUUCCCCUCAGUCCAUUCUAAACAUCUUAACAGUCAUUCACAGAUCAGUUAAACAUUCUCAUCACGUAAACUCUUUAUUUAACCUCAAACAGUCGUCUUACUCUAAUUUAGUCCAAGGUCAAUAAAAAAACAUAUCAUUACAUCAGUUAACAAGCUAAACAAUCAUAACCUCCUCCUCAGUCACCAAGGGCACCACCAUGACGUUUCUUCCGUUCACAAGCACACAACAUAACAGUAGAUUAUACACUCAGUCUAGACAACAAUCAAUCUACUAAUCAAAUCCACACUUUAUAUAAGCAACAUCUACGAGAUUCAGUCGUUUCCACAUCCUUAUCUUUGUACACAUACAUAACCAGACAGUCAUAACAUAUACUCAACCACAGUCUACAUCAAUCCAUGCACAUAUAUGUAUUAAUUUCUCCCAGUCAAACAUAGCAAACAUUAAACUUUAAGUCAAUGCCCAAACAUACAUCAUAACAGUCAUCUCUACUCAGUUCAAAUCAAUACAUCUUAAUUAGUCAUUAUAUCUUAAUUUUAUUGUUGAGUCUAGUAGAAAAUCCCUUACUUUCAAGUUAGUUAAGCUCCUUAACCACGUUGAAGUCUACGAAGAACGAACCUAAACAUUAAGACAAUUUCUCAAUAAUUCUCAUCAAUCAUUUAAAUUCAACCCAAUGUGAUUUUUUUUUUACAACUUACCCAAAUCUUCACAAAACGAGUUCCAACUAGAAUCAAUUGUUUGGUGCGAACCCAAUGAAUUCGAGUGUUACCUUCAACCUAUAAUCGAUAUAAUCGAACAGUAAACGAUUUAUCCAACCAAUUAUUCCAGCAAUAUUACUUGAGUUUAUUUUGGAAACAGUUACAAAUUUCAUAACUUCAAUCUUACCAAUCAAAAUUUAAUGACUCGUGGCAAAGCAGGAACGACAGCGAACAACCCAAUCGAAUGGCGUGGGUUUGCUACCUGCGGCAGGACGAAGAAGGAACUCGACGCGCAGAAAGUUGGAUCUGGGGUCUUUAGUUCGGUUCACGGUAGCGAAUUAAAACCUGAUUGCGCGGACGUCAAAGGUGUUAUUCGCGGAAGAAGUCGAGCAGCAGCUUUGCGAAGAGACGACGUGCGACGGAGAGACUGUAUACAGACGGACGGAGAGUCGCGCGGCAGUGCAGAAAACGGAGGAGAAAGGAAUGGGCGGCGGCUGGGCUUGGCUUCGACGGAGACAGAGGCGAUUAGGACGGGGCACGGCGACGCAGAUCUGGACGACGGCGCGGAGACAGAGGUUGCGCGGCGCUGGGCAGAGGGUCAAACGGCGCUGGGCGAAGGGUCACACGGCGCUGGGCGGAAGGUCACACGGCGGCCUUGCUUCGCGAACAGAGAUGGCGGCCGACGGUUGCAGCGGCGGCUGGGUAUGGUAGAAAAGAAAGAGAAACGGAAGAAGAAUAGGGGCGGCGACCGUGGAUCGGAGAAGAAAAGAAGGAUGAAAGCGAUGGUGGCCGGUUGGAGGGUGCGGCUGGAGGUAGGGAUCGGUGAAGGAGAAAAUAGAAAAAGAAAAUGAAGGGGAAAUGGGGGUUGCGCGCGGGAGGAAGAAGAAAGGAAAAAAAAUUCUUUUUUUUUUUUCUUUUCUUUUAUUUAAAUUAAAUAAUAAAACUAAAAUAUGUGUAUUGAUCAAAUGACCCAUAUCAAUAAGGACACAAAAUUGGCAAAGAACAAAUAAAUUAAAAUGGACAAUAACUCUUGUUUCAUUACUUUCUCUCUCAUUGGAGUUCUUUUGUUCACCAUCAUUUCAAAUGUGGCAUCAUCUAACGACGUUGUUUCUACCAUCUGUUCAGAAAUCUCAAAUCCACAAUUUUGUUUAAGUGUGUUGAAAUCUGCAGGCACUACAGAUCUAAAAGGCUUGGCUGUAUACACCUUAAACCUUGCUCAUUCAAAUGCUGGCAAAUCUUUGAUCCUAGCCAACUCACUAGCAAAAGCCACCACCAAUCCUCAACUUAAGCAACGAUAUUCAUUUUGUGCUGAGAGCUAUGAUGAAGUUGUUGGUGACAUUGAAAAUGCUCAAAAACGACUUGGCACUUGGGGACUUUAUUGGUGUCAUUAUUGCAACUACUGGUGCCAUGACAACUCUUGGUGAUCACUGUCAGAAUAAGCUCUUGCAGCCGCCGAAGGAUACAUCGUUGCUUUUAAAGAAUAGCAACACUCUAGAUGAUAUAAUUUAGCAUUAUUAUGGUUAUAUCCGAUCAUCUUUGAGGGUUAUGUACUUGAACAUUUUGAUCAAUAAAUAAACUGAAGUUUAAUUUUUAAAAUAAUAUUACAAUGUGAUGGUGAUUGGAAUUGAUUACUUACUUUGAUUAAACUUGAGAAGAUAAGAAAAUCAAUUAAUAGAAACGUUCACCGACACACAUUGUCAGCACGUCGGAGAAAGCCUAAACUUUUUUUUCUUUUCUUUUACGUUCUGUUUUCUUUUCUUUGUUUGCCAUCAUCAUCAUCAUCUUCUUCUAGCUUCUUACGUUCUGUUUCAAUUGCAUACUUCUGUUAUUCUUGUAAUUUCUUCGUGGUUUUCUUUUUAACUUUGUGUUUCAGUGUGGAUUCAUAAACACAUUUUUCAGUGCUCUGGAUUCUGGAUCUGUUAUGAUUUUGAAAGGGUACAGUGAAGUGAAAAGUUGAAAUGGAAAAGAAAAAAAGAAGAAAAGAGGACACUUCUCGCGGUGGUGGCGGCAAAGACUGACGUCGACGACAACACAACUCUCCUCCUCUCCCUAUAUCUCGGCCGAUUUUGGGUUUAUUUUCGUUUUGCAUUCUGUUAUGUGUGGAAGGGAGAAUAAAUAGUGUGGACUUUCCCCGACGUCUUCGAAAACGUUGGGAAAUUUACCUUUCGCCGACGUAUGUAGUACACACGUCGGAGAAAGUUUAAAUAAUAAAUUCAUUAUUUAAACUUUCCCCGACGUACUCCUGUCAUACGAGUCUAAAUUAAAUUUAAUGCGUUCUCCUUCGGCGAUGUGUGUCAAGGUGACGUUGGAAAAAGUUUAAACACUAAUGCAAUUAUUUUAAAUCACAUAUGUUAUCGCUUAUAUGGCAUAGGAGUCUAUUAACGAUAGAAAUCUAUCUUGAUAGGUUUUUGCUACAUUUACAAUGUUUAAAAAAUAUUCUUAUAUACUUAACUAUUAUUCCUAAAAUUGCUAACCCAUUAUACUUACCCUUAGUUAAAUGUAUAAUGUCAAAAGUAAGUUUACUACGAAGGUAAUCUAUGUGACCCUUUUAUCCUAACGUAGGAAGUUUGUUCCACUCCAUACCAUUAUUGAACUAAAAGGAUUAAGUGUGUAUUAAUAUGUUUAAACAAGUAUAAUUAUAAGCAAAAUCUAUAAGUGAUAUAUUGAUAUUAGCAAUACAAUACGCGUCACAUAUGCAAACAUUUUGUGUCUAAUCGUUGUAUUUACAAUUAACUCCAUUAAAAUAUUACAAAUAGAAAUAGAACUCUUUAACCUAUGUUCAGUUAGGAUCACAAACUACAAAAUGAAAGCAUGGAACAAAUUUAAUUUUUUUUUUCUUUAAAGGAAAUUUUGUGUGUAGCACAUUAUAUUUUUUUCUUUCCUUUAAAAAACAUUAUUGAUCUUAUGAUAUUUGACAUAUAUUAUAUUUUUUUAAGAAUGUAAAUAAUGUAAAUAAUGUGCCAAAUAAUUGAAAACAUGUUAUCCAAAACAGAGAAUGGUUAAGAAAUUGUUGACAUUUAGUCAAAUUAAUAAAUAAUUCAAAAUUGUGUUUGAUUUUUGAAUUUGAAAAGAUAGUAAAAUUAGAAGUGUUUUGAAAUAGUGUUUACGAGAAGAUUUUUAAUUUUAAAUAGCAUUAUAGUAGCUAUGGAUGGUUAUAUAAUAGUCUACACAAUCUUUGUCACAAAUGAUUAAUUCGAUUUUUUAAAUCAAGUCUAAUGUUUUUUUUUUUUUUUUGCCUAUUUCUUACCCAUAAUUUUUACAUUUUUUGUAAGUAUAAUGGUUGAAUGCAAAAAGAGAGCUGACUAGUAAGUGCAAAAAGAGAUCUCACAAGCUUCUGCAAAAGCUAAUCAAGCAACCCAAAUCAUAAACGAGGAGAAAAGUUGAUUGGUUAAGCUUUGUUGUAGUAAAGAAGAAGUCAAAGUGAACAUGGAACGUUCUUCACUCUCAAAGAACAUCGCCAACAUAUAGAUUAUAUACUUUUUCUGGUAUUGACCCAAAAAACACAAUCCAAGUGUAUUUUUGGUGAGAUGCAUAGUUUAACUAAACCGUGUUAUUACAAAAUUUUUAAUUACUAGGAACUCCUAAUGAAACGAAUACAUUAUUUUUAUAAUUACGAGGUAAAAUGGAAACAUACAAACUACUAAAAAAAGUUGCAAUUCGAUUAUUGGGAUUCAAUCUACUCUCCAUGAAUGUUUCUUGAAAUGAGAGUUUUUAAGCAGCUACAACUUGCUUAUGUAUAAAAGCAAAACCCUUUCUCAACGCCUACCUUCAGUUUUGGCUUUAGAGCUUCAAGUGAUUUUUGCCCCUACUCAGAUAAACCCUGAAGAUCAGAUGUUACAAAGGCUUCAAUUCCACAUGCAAAAAUCAUGUUCAUGAACCAAAAGCACCUUAAGCUUCUCUUCGAUAUCUUUGAGCUCACUGGAUAAAGAACUGAUUUCUAAAGCAAUCAUCUCUACCCAUAUCCUCAUCGUUCCCACUGUCUUUUAAUAAGGUUGGCAUGAUAAUCACAACAAAAGAAGAAGAAACUAAGAUCAAUUUAACAAAUUUUAUGUUGGGAAACUUUUUUAAGAACAACUACUUAUAAACCAACCUUAGCUUUGGCCUCACAUUCCUUGAAUUUUCUAAAAGUAGAUACCACCUGUCCGGGCAACCCACACCAACCAACCAAGAGUAAGUUAGUGUGAAAGACACUUAUUUAAUGAAGAAUAUGUAAAAGAGGUCAUUCCAACUGUUACACAUAAUAGUAUUGGAGGCAGAUAACCUUGCCAUACCUCAUCAAGUUCUGAUAUUGAUUGAGCUAGUUUUUGAUACUCUGUGGGGUUUGAGACAAUAUCUGGAUUGACCAGCUUAACCUAAAUAAUAAUAUCGAUAGUGAUUAUUGUGUAGGAAAAUAUUAAAGCUAUAACCAAAUCAAAAGCAUAAUUGGAAAUACAUCAAAGAUGUAAAUGCAAAUUUCAAAAGUGGGAUCUACAGAAUGUAAGGGGAAGAAACUCAAAUAAAAUUACUUUAUUAUUAGUUAUAACGACUACUAAUAGAGAUUCCAGAUACACCACAGUUCCACGUCCUCUUUCAGGAGGAAAGCAAUGGUUAAAAAUUAAUUGUGAAAACUAAAGAAGGUCCUGUUCAAAUCCUAACAGCAAUAGGAAAGCAAGGAGUUAUAAGGUGAUCACUAUAGGCCAAAUCCAAAAUGCAUUCAAUAUUUGUCUUCCAAUUUCAUUAUCAAGUGCAUAGGCAAGGUCCCUAGUGAGGAAGUUAUUCGUUCUUUUCUUCAUUUUCUAUAGCUCUAGAAGUAGCUAAAUGGAAUCGUCAAGCACCUAAUCUAUUAAUUUUAAAACUCAAAAGUUCACCGCGGGAUUCUAGUCACUGCUGAAACAACAUAGAGUUCACUAGUUCCACAGUUAAAUUAAUUGCAAAUUGCAUUUCCUGGCAUUUUCAAGAAAAAAAAAAUGCACAAAUCAUAAUAUGAUGAAGUAGAAAAAUUUUGUGAGCUCGACUUUUCCAGGACAUAUCUUAGCUACUUCUCCUAUUCCAGCUCGAUAACCAUUGUACUUUAACAAUUGAAACAUUAAUCCAAUAGUUAACAAUGUUCUGCACUUUAUGCCCUUUACAUUUCCAACAACUUGAUGCAUACAUCAGUAGUUAACACAGGCACGAGCUCUUAAAUUCAAUGCAAAAUAAACAGUCCCAUUCCAAGCAUAGACACCAAAUACAAACAAUUGAUGGACUUGAAUCAGUGAAGAAAUAAGAAUGUCAUUUAACAGCAAAGCACAAAUUACCGAUAAUUUUUUCCACGUCUUCUCAGCAGAUUCCAAUUUCACGAUCAAAUAAGGUUCCUAAAAUAAAGCAAUCACCAUCAUCAUUUUCCACAAAUAUGAUUCGAACUAGUUUUACCACAAAUUAAUUUCUAGUAACUUGAAGAAAAACUCAGUGAACUCAAAGCAUAACGAAACUCAAGUUCUGUUAAAGCCAAUCCGAACAAUAAGAUAUAGACAUAUUGUGUUCUCGAAAGAAAAACAUUCAAUAAAUCUAACAGCCAUGCAAAUUAGAGUUGAAGCUCUAAAGGGAGGUGCAAAGCAUUUUAAGUUCCAGAGAGCAUCUUCUGAAGGCGAUGAGCCCAUAAGAUGAAAAAAAGGCCUCAAGUGAGGAAGAAAGACGCCAUCCAAACAUGAAAAAAGGAAGAAAGGCAAGAUUUUGGUAGCUCCAGACCUGAGGGAAGCCAACAAGGUGGCGAGGGAGGCAAGGCCCCAAAGUUUUAGCAUUGCCAGCAAAGUGAAGGUAGAGAGGACCACAGCGACACUUUCCUUUCUGACGUGGCGCCUCCGAGAGUUUAUGGACGCCCCAAUUGGGGCGUUUGGAUGGAGUAAGUUCUUCAAGGGACUUCCAAGAUUCGAUGGAGGUUGUCAAGAAAUUCUACGCAUUCAGAUUACAACCACUACAAGGAAUUUCAGAUCAACCACACAACAAUUUAACACUAUUGGGAGAAUCCACGAAUUCUUGGUCAAGUAGAAGAACCUCCAUGUGGAAGAAACAAAUUGUGAACGUGUCGAAGACCUUGAAGUGUGGAAAUGGAAGAUCAAAGAGUUCCAGCUUCGCCAGUCGACAGGGACGUCAACUGUUUAAGUAGGGGAGAAUGUCAAGAGCAUGCUUGUCCAAGGCAUUGUUUGCCCAUGGCCGCAUGGCCGAACAUCCUCAAACCGCCUUAUAUUUAUGUCUUAUAACUUAGUUUAGCCAUUUUGUUUCCUUUUGUUGUCGCCGACCUAGGGUGUGACGUUUCAAAAUUUUCAUAUGCAAGUCUGUCAUAGCUAAAAAUGUUUAAAAUGUACUAUAGGGAAGACAUAGUAGUUGAAUCCCUGACCAAGCCUUGUUGCACUCUUUGCAUUCUAAUCUUUCUUUGCAAUUAACAGUCUUCAAUGCUUUCUUUAACAGAUGUGUUUUCAAUUCUUUUCUUCUCUUCUUGUCUUAUAAAAAUAAAUUUCUCUCAAAACAUGAAAGAGGCUAUACCGUACUGCGUGCUUUUUUUGCGACUUCUGGAUUUCAUACAGCUUACUUGUUCACCGAGCUAGAACAAACGUCGCAUAAUCACCAUCCCCUAUUUGAAAAUUUACGAUUAUGACAGCAUGCGGUGAGGUGCACGCGGCAUGUGUGGGCCCAAGCCAAGCAUGCAACUGGCAUUCUGAUACUCUAUGCACGUGCAUGCUGCCUGCGCCCAUGCCCGUGCAGCCAGCAUUGUCAUGACGUAGUUUUUGGGAUGUUUGGUGUUUUGGGAAAUUUUGAGCAAAUUCUGGAUGUUCGAGCAUGCGGAUGUUCUAUGCAAUGCAACCAGCAGCCCAUAUGUUCUAUGUUCUCUUUACGGUCGUAUGUGCACAUUUGGUUAACUCUACUACUACUAAUGGGAAAGUUGACGAGCCUAUGCUGAAUUCAUCAGGAAAGGUGUACUUUGUUGAGCCCAUUGAGGAGAAGGAUACCUUCUUUUUUUCGAAGAGGUGUUUCAAUGCCUAGGCCGUCUUUUGACAAUGAGGUGUUAAUAUUACCUAGACUUCAUGCUAAGAACGGGUUGUGAAUUUAUAAUCAAGAAUGCAGUUCGAGUAUCAUGUCUUUCAAAUGAUUUCCAACAGCUUGAAUGUUUCUAUAAGACAAGAAUUUAUGCUUAACUGUUUUAGAAAGCAUGUUUUAUAAAAAUUGUCACUCACUAAGUCUUUCGACUUAUCCUUUCAAAUCAUUUCUCACUUUUCAGGUAUGGAUUAUGCAUUCCCUAAUGUUAAGCGUAUUGCUUGCUGAGCCAACCAGUUACUAGAAAUUGUUAAGUCAUUUUGAAAGUUAGUUUUGACUUUGUAAGAAAAGUUCAGGAUGAGCAUGUCUAUGUUUAUUGUUAAAGUUCCAAUGUUAUAAGUUAGUUUAGUAAAAAGGUCACUGUCAUGUUUAAAGCUUCUGCUGAUGUAUCACAAUAGUUGUAACUAGUGGUUUAAGUUAUUAGUUAAAGCAUGUAGCUUGUGUAUCGCUGUUUGUUUUGAGCAUGCAUUCAUGUUGUAACUGGUAGUUAAGUUAGAAAGGUUAGUCGGUUGGUAAGUUUUGCCAAGGUAUGGCAAUCCUUGCCAACCCUCGCACCUUCUUUCAGAGCUAGAUGUUGUUCAGAAAAUAAGGAGCUUUGGGAGGGGGUGGUGACAACAACACCAUCCCACUAGAGUACGCAAAUGAUGCAUUAUUGUUUAAUUAAGUCAUAUAUAACUUCCACAAUUUGGAUAGGAAUUUAACUCAUUAGAAGGUGUCCUAUAGAAUUUCUCAGUGAAAAGUUCAGAGAAGCUACAAACAAAUGUCACUACCGAACAACAAUCAUAUACAUGGGUUAGGGCUUUGAGCAGCUGUGAACACAACUUAAUAAUAAAUAUGAAGUCGUCCUCUUUUCAUCAUUAGUCAGAAGAAUUCUUAAACUUUCUAAAAAUAAUUGUCAAAUAAUUGAUUAUAUAGUAUGCCAUUUAUUUGGAAUAUACAAUUUUUUCAUUACCAGGAAAGGAGACUUCUCACUAAGUAAAUGUAAAGAGACUAAUGCUAUAAUUUGAAUUGGAAAAUAUAAUUUCAUAAUUAAGCAUCGAAUAGGGACUAGUUAAGAAGUACACACUUUAGUUUGCCAGAGUCCAUGUUCUACACAUGUUAGCCACUCUGUCAUUGGUUUAGCAGUAAAACAAAGGAUGUGUUUAGGAAUGUGAGCCACACAAAAGGGAAAGAAAACAGAAGGCGCAGUGAGCCACACAAAAGGGAUCGAAACGAAUGUUCAGAAAUAUCGGAAGGAUCGAAGAAAUAUGGAAGGAAAGACGAGGAAAAAACAACAGACCGGAGCAAGUUCAAGAAGGUAGAGAUCCCGAUCUUCAAUGGAAUAGACCCCGAUUCAUGGUUAUUUUUCGCGCCGAUCGUUAUUUCAAAUGCAAGAUACACAAGUUGACUGACUCAGAGAAGUUAAUGGUAGCGGUAAUCAGUUAUUAGGACCAGCUUUGGAUUGGUAUAGAUCAAUUGAUGAAUUGGAACAAUUCAAGAGUUGGGAAGAUUUGAAGCAAAGGUUGUUGUCCGAUUUCAGAGACGAUUCGGGAUGGAACACUCGUAGGCAGAUUCUUAAGGAUUAAGCAGGAAACGACAGUAGGGGAAUAUAGAAACAGUUUCGAUAAAUAUUUAGCUCCGGUAGCCUUCCUCCAGACCAUAGUAUUAGAAGAAACCUUUAUGAAUGGGCUAAGCCCAUGGCAUAAAUCCGAAGUUGAAACGCUGGAGCCCAUAGGUUUGGCCAAAGAUGAUGUAACUAGCCCUGAAAUUGAAAAUAGAGAGAUGGUUCGUCGAGAAUGUGGGCUUAGUAGUGUUUCGGGAAUGAAUCAACAAUUCAAGCAUAAUAACGUAAAGCAAACCUCGACAGUAAACACCCAAUCAGAAACCCACGGAAGGGAGCUGGCCAAUGAGAAACGAUUACGUUAAAAAGAGUGACGGCAGAUGAAAAGAGGAGGGAAGGUCCGACCAAGCGUCUUUCCAACGCUGAAUUUCAAGCACGGAGGGAAAACGGUCUGUGUUUUCAGUGUGAGGAGAAGUAUCACGAGCUGGACAUAGGCGUAAGGUGAAGGAACAGAAGGAAUUACGGAUGUUAGUAGUAAAGGAAAUGGGAGAAGAACUGGAAAUCAUUGAGGAUGAACACUUUGAUGUGGAAAACGGAGGCCCAGACCAUUGAAAUUGAAAAAGUGGAGAAUAUGAAUAUAGAGCUGUCCAUUAACUCAAUUGUGGGGUUAUCCAACCCUGGAACCAUGAAACUGAAAGGGAAGAUAAAAGAGACCAAAGUGGUAAUAAUCAUCGACAGUGGAGCCACCCACAGUUUUAUUGCAAAAAAUUUUGUAACCACCCUUAGCCUACCAAUGACAGAAAAACGUCCAACUAUGGAGUGAUUUUGGGGAUCAGGGGUUGCGGUCAAAAGGAAAAGGAAUCCGCAGUAAUGUUGAAGUGACGGUAGGAGAGUGGAAAAUUACAAACAACUUUUUACCCUUGGAAUUAGGGGUGGUUGCACUCAUUGGGCAUGACUGAAUUUGAUAUGAAAAAUUUGGUGAUGACAUUCCGACAUGGAGGAAGGAAGAUAGAGAUAAAGGGGGACCCUAGUGUCACCAAAACCCAAGUGAGCCUAAAGUCUAUAAUUAAGACAUGGGGAGCUGAUAAUCACGGUUAUUUGGUAGAAUGUCGGGCCAUGGAGGGAAGGCUAGCUGAGGAAGGCUUAGAGGAUGAAGAAGUGCCAGCCACUGUUGACAACAUGAUCUCUCCUCUGUUGAGCAAAUUUAAUGAUGUUUUUGAUUGGUUGGAAGAGCUGCCUUCGAAGAGGAACAUUGAGCACCAUAUACCCCUUCAGAAGGGGGUGGAUCCAGUUAAUGUCAGACCUUAUCGUUACGCACAUCGGCAAAAGGAGGAAAUUGAAAGACUAGUUGAUGAAAUGUUGAAGACAGGCAUCAUAUGACCGGGUACCAGUCUGUAUUCCAGCCCAGUCCUUCUCGUGAAAAAGAAAGAUGAUAGCUGGCAAUUUUGUGUAGAUUAUCGGGAGUUGAACAAUGUCACUAUCCCAGAUAAGUUCCCAAUUCCGGUCAUAGAUGAGUUAUUCAAUGAGCUGAAUGGGGCCAACAUGUUUUCGAAGAUUUAUUUAAAGGCGGGUUAUCACCAAAUCAGGAUGCAUCUGAGAGGUGUAGAGAAGACGGCCUUUCGAACACAUGAGGGACACUAUGAGUUCUUGGUCAUGCCGUUUGAGCUAACCAAUGCCCCCUCUACGUUCCAAGCAUUAAUGAACCACAUCUUUAAGCCUUAUAUGAGAAGAUUCGUAUUAGUGUUUUUCGAUGACAUUUUGGUGUACAACAGGGGAGUAGAAGAACAUGGACAGCAUCUGGAAGUAGUCUUGGAGAUCCUUCGAGAGAAUGAAUUGUAUGUGAAUUUAGCCAAAUGUUGCUUUGCCAAAAGUAGAAUAGGUUAUUUGGGGCAUUUCAUAUCCGAAAAGGGAGCUAAAGUUGAUCCAGAAAAAAUAAGGGCAAUUAGGGAAUGGUCGAUUCCCACUAGUGUGCGAGAAGUUCGAGGUUUCUUAGGACUCAAUUGAUACUAUAGGAAGUUUGGGCAGAAUUAUGGCAGUAUCGAAAGCCCUUUGACACAGCUUUUGAAGACAGGAACUCAUUGUUGGACUGAAGAAGCAAGUGCUGCCUUUGAGAAGUUGAAGAUGGCAAUGAUGAUUCUACCGACGUUAGCUAUGCUGGACUUUAAUCUACCACUCGAGAUAGAAACAUAUGUAUCUUGUUUUGGUGUGGGGCCGUUUUAGUACAAGCCAAGAGACAAAUAUCCUUCUUUAGUAAAACCUUAUGCAUGUGGGAUAGAGCGCGACUGGUUUAUGAAAGAGAAUUGAUAAUAGUAAGUGUUUUGCGGUGCAAAGGUGGAGACCAUAUUUGUUAGGGAAGAAAUUUACAGUGAAAACUGAUCAGAAGUCGCUCAAAUUUCGGCUAGAACAAAGGGUGAUUCAACCCUAAUACCAAAAAUGGAUAGCCAAUCUUUUGGGAUAUUUCAUUUGAGGUAGUCUGCAAUCCUGGGAUUGGAGAAUAAGGCAGCCGAUGCUCUAUCUAGAACACCCCGUAUAGUGCACUUAAAUCAAAUAUCAGCCCCAACACUACUCGAUUUAGUGGUGAGUCAAGAAGAGGAAAAGAGGGAUCAAUACCUACAGGAAAUCCAGAAGAAAAUAGAAAGAACAAAAAGUGAAAGUUCCAAACUUUUCAGUACAGCAAGGGGUAUUGAAAUACAAAGGAAGGUUGGUGAUGUCAAAAACAUCCGUUCUACUACCCACUAUUCAUGCAUACCUAUUCAUGAUUUUGUCUUUGGAGGACAUUCAGGGUUCCUAAGAACGUACAAGAGGAUGACCGGAGAGAUUUACUAGGAAGGAAUGAAGAAAAACAUAAAGAAAUACUAUGAAGAAUGUCUUGUAUGCCAAAGGAAUAAAACACUUGCAUUAUUACCUGCUGGAUUGCUGCUGCCACUUGAGAUUCCUAACACAGUGUGGUCGGAUAUUUCCAUGGAUUUUAUAGAUGGACUUCCAAAAUCAGCUGGAAAAGAAGUGAUUUUUGUGGUUGUAGAUUGUCUGAGUAAGUAUGCACAUUUUUACAGCUAUAAAUCAUUCUUACAUGGCCAGCUUCGUAGCAGAAGUUUUUGUUAAAGAAGUGGUGAGAUUGCACGGGUAUCCGCAGUAAGUUGUAUCGGAUCAAGACAAAAUCUUUAUUAGUCAUUUCUGGAAGGAAAUGUUCAAGUUAGUGGGAACUAAAAUAAAUAGAAGGAAAUGUUCAGGUUAGUGGGAACUAUGCCCAUAUACACCAAGUUCGAAUAUAGAACUUGCUUCUUACUGAAAAAAUAAUGAUUAUUGGGACUUGCUAUAAAGGGUAUCCAAUACUCGAAGUAAAUGAAUGAUUACAAAAUGAUUGUUUCCUCAGUUUGAAGAAGAACAACAAAAAAGAAAAGAAGGAUAAAAAAAAAAAAAAACAAACUUUCUUUUUGAAAUUCUAAAAGAAUCCAAAAAGACUUCAAAAGGUGCAACCAAGAAAGGAGGUCAAAGAAGGGCUCUGAUAGACCCCCCUAUCAUACGUCAAUAUAGUCGAAAAAAAAAGAGAGAGAUCACAAGGGAACACACAUGCGAAGAAGAAAAGAUUUAAAGGACUGUUAGAAGAAAAGAUUUAAAAAGCUUGUUGGGCGUCGGUUAGAUUUGAGGAGAUUUAGGAGGGUCGUUAGGUGUUGAUUAGAAUAAAUAAGGAUAGGGAGGAAAGAGGAGGGUAUGCUGAGUUUAGAAGAAAAUUGACUCAUGCUCUUCCUUGAGCGAUAGGAUAGCAGAGAGGGAAUUAGAUUGUUUUUCGAAUUGAGUCCUCCUCAAUUUGAGUGUUCUGAUAUUUUGAUUUUCCUUGUAACUCAUUCUUUGAUUGAAGCAAUAAAAGUUCUAAUUGGAUUUCCAAAAGAGUUCUAUCAAAUUGGUAUCAGAGACAGUUUUUUCUGACCAAGAGGAAAAUGAUGGUCCAAACACGAAUGAAGGAGAGAAUGGAGGCGCACGACCAGGAGAUGCAUUUGAUGAGAAGCGAGAUAAGCAAAAUUUCGACAAUGAAAGAAAUAUUAGCCACGAUCAGCGUACAGACAAAGAAGACUCACAAAAUGUUGAUAAUGUUCAUGGAAUCGAUUACCAGAGAGCAUAUCGUUAUGAGUGAGAAAAUGGCCGAGUCGAGUGUGCGAGAGACAGUAUCAACAAUAACGAAUAAGAAGGAAGGCUCGAUCGAAAAGGACCAUGAGCACGAAACAAAGGAUGGAAAGAUAGAAGGAGAAGACGGAGCGAACGAGCAUAAUAAGUUCAAGAAGGUUGAGAUGCCAGUUUUCAACACGGAAAAUACCCAAUUUUUGACCCUUUCGAGCAGAUAGAUAUUUUCAGAUACACAAAUUGACUGAUGCUGAGAAGGUCCUGGUUGCGACCAUUAGUUUUGAAGGCCCGACGCUGAACUAGUAUAGGGCGCAAGAAGCACACGACAAGUUUACCAGUUGGUCGAACCUCAAGGAGAGAAUACUCAUCCGUUUUCAAUCAGCAAAAGAGGGGUCCAUAUGCGGACAAUUUUUUAGGAUCGGAUAACAGACGACAGUAGAAGAAUAUCGAAACCAGUUAUAUAAGCUGAUGGAACCGUUAUCCGAUCUACAAGACAGAGUGGUGGAGGAAACAUUCAUGAACGGUUUACUGCCGUGGAUUAAAGCAGAAGUGGAUUUUUGUCGUCCGGUCGACGUGGCUCAAAUGGUGCACGCGGCUCAACUCGUAGAAAAUCGAGAGAUAAUUCACAAUGAGGCCAACCUUAAGGGGUACGCCCAAGGAAAAUAUCCGCCUCAAGGUUCUAGGCAAAAUACGAGUGCUGCGACGGUGAACGAUAGCGACAAUAAGAGAAAUACAUUAUUUUCGAUGAGAACGAUUACUCUGAGAACGACAUCCAGAGAAGUUAAGAGAGGGGCAGGCAAAGCGAUUGUUAGACGCGGAGUUUUCAAGUCAGGAAGGAAAAAGGACAUUGUUUUCCGUUGUAAUGAGAUAUAUUAUCAUGAUCAUCGAUGCAAAAACAGAGGGCAAAGAGAGUUGAGAAUGUACGUGGUCAGGGCGAAUGAUGAAGAAUUUGAAAUCAUAGAAGAAGUGGGAGAAAAUGAAUUGUUUGGAAAUCACAUAAGAAGAUCAUGUUGUCAUCGAACUGUCAAUUAAUUCGGUGGUGGGGCUGAACAAUCCGAGGACAAUGAAGGUGAGGGGGAAUAUCAGUGAGCGAGAAGUUUUCAUUUUCAUUGAUUGUGGAGCAACGCACAACUUCAUCUCCGAAAAGAUAGUAAAGGAGUUACAACUGGCCACGAAGGCAACGUCGCACUAUGGUGUAAUCUUGGGCUCGGGGGAGGCGAUAAAAGGUAAAGGAGUAUGUGAGGACGUGGAAAUCAAGUUGAACGGGUGGAAGGUGGUGGAAAAUUUGUUACCCUUAGAAUUGAGAGGGGUAGAUGUUGUGUUAGGAAUGCAGUAGUUGUAUUCAUUGGGCAUGACGGAAGUAGAUUGGAGGAACCUCACAAUGACUUUUGUGCAACAAGGAGAAAAGGUAGUGAUAAGAGGAGACCCAAGUUUGACCAAAUCCAGAGUGAGUCUCAAGAACAUGAUCAAAAGUGUGGAAGGAUUCGUGAUCGAGUGCCGAGCAAUGGAGAGAGUCUUUGAGCCACAGGAAGAUAACGGGAUUGAAGAAGUAUUAACUACUGAUGAAGCAGUAUCGGUCGUGUUGAAGAAUUUUGAAGAUGUUUCUAAUUGGCCGAAGACACUACCCCCGCAAAGAAAUAUUGAACAUCACAUUCAUUUGAAACAGGGCACUGAUCUGGUAAAUGUUCGACCCUAUAGAUACGCUUAUCAACAGAAAGCUGAGAUGGACAAACUUGUGGAUGAGAUGUUGACAGCGGGAAUUAUCCGUCCCAGCAACAGUCCAUAUCUAGUCCAGUUCUAUUGGUAAUGAAAAAAGAUGGCAGCUGGCGUUUUUGCGUAGACUACCAAGCGCUGAACAAUGUAACCAUUCCAGACAAAUUCCCUAUUCCGGUGGUUAAGGAGCUUUUCGAAUGAAUUAAAUGAAGCAAACUGGUUUUCAAAGAUUGAUUUGAAGGUGGGGUACCAUCAGAUCAAAAUGUGUGGAGAAGACAUCGAAAAAGCAGCAUUCCGAACACAUGAUGGACACUAUGAAUUUAUGGUUAUGCCAUUCGGCUUAACUAAUGCCACAUCCACUUUCCAAGCUCUGAUGAACUCAACAUUCAAACCAUUUUUGCAGAAGUUCAUAUUAGUGUUUUUCGACGACAUACUAAUCUACAGUGAGAACUUGGAACACCAUUUGAAGCACAUUGGGUUAGCAUUGGAAAUCCUGAGAAAGAAUGAGUUAUAUGCAAACAAGAAGAAGUGCAGCUUCGCACAAGAACGUAUUGAUUAUUUGGGUCAUAUCAUUUCAAGACAAGGAGUUGAAGUGGACCUUGAGAAAAUCAGAGCAAUCACGGAAUGGCCUAUACCCAGUAAUAUAAGAGAGGUACGGGGAUUCCUAGGCCUCACCUGUAACUAAAGAAAGUUCGUUCAGCACUAUGGCUCCAUUGCCGCACCAUUGAUUCAACUACUUAGGAAAGGGGGAUUCCAGUGGACUGAGGAGUCUAAGGAGGCAUUCCAACAACUACAAAAUGCGAUGAUGACCCUGCCCGUUUUGGCGUUGAAAAAAUUUCAAUGCCACAUUUGAAAUGGAAACCGAUGCAUCGGGAUAUGGGGUAGGAGUCGUACUCGUCCAAGCCAAGCGUCCCAUAGCAUACUUUAGUCAUACGUUAGCCUCAAGAGAUAGAGCCAAGCCUGUACAUAAAAGGGAAUUAAUGGCAGUGGUCUUGCAUGUGCAACGAUGGCGACCAUAUCUGUUGGGGAGAAAAUUUAUUGUGAAGACCGAUCAGAAAUCCUUGAAGUUCUUGUUAGAACAAAGAGUGAUACAGCUUCAGUAUCAGAAAUGGGUAGCGAAGCUAACGGGAUACUCAUUUGAGGUGGUCUACAAACUCAGCUUGGAGAAUAAAGCAGUAGACGCCUUGUCUUGGAUGCCUCCUACAAUUAACCUCGGUAGCAUAACAGCUCCUACAUUGGUUGACAUUCUGGUGACUAAAAAGGAAGUCAAAGCGUAUGAAAAAUUAAGCAAAAUAAUGGAAGAACUACAAGCAAUGGAAGAAGUAACAGAGGGUAAAUUCUCCAUCCGACAAGGUAUGUUAAGAUAUAAGGAUAAGUUUGUGUUGUCCAAAACAUCUACAUUGAUACCCACAAUCCUACAUACUUACCAUGAUUCGGUACUUGUGAGGAAUGUGUAAUAUGUCAGAAGAACAAGUCCCUAGUGUAACGAGCAUACUUGUCCAAGGUGUGUUUACCUAUGGCCGUAUGCUCCGAUUAGCCCCAAUUUACCUUGUCUUUAUGUCUUGCACGUAGCUUAGGUAGUUGCUUUCAAUUUCAAGUCGAUAUGCUUGGGUGUGACGUUUCGGCAUUUUCAUAUGUUAAAAAUGUACUAUAGGGGAGGCAUACCUGUUGAAUCCCUGCCCAAGCCUUGUCGUACUCUUUGCAGUCUAUGCUUUCUUAUUGCAAUUGACAGUCUUCAAUGCUUGUUUUAACAACGUUUUCAAUCAAUUUAAUCAUCUUUCAUGUUUUCUAAAACUAUUUUUCCAAGAACGUGAGGGGAGGUUGAAGUAUGUGUUAAAGUUGUCUGCGAUUUGCAGAUUUUGAUCGGCUGACUUGUUCGCCGAGCUAGAACAAGUGCCGCACAAUCGUUCACAAUCGUGUAUGGGUUUCGUAAGGGUUACACAGUAAAGGAAGAGUAAGAAUUUGAGUGGAGAAACUCCAAAUUGGGAUCAACACGUGGGCAACAACAUGGCUUCUCACCAACAUGAGAACUCAAAAGAGACAGCAGAUAUUCUAGAGAAGCCAAUGAACUCUUGGGAUGUGAAUCUGCACUUUCCUGCAAUAGUUUGAGUGUGAAUUAGUUCUCUGAAAACACCUGCAGAGGAUAAUCCACGGCAAAACAGAAUAACUAUAAAAAAACCACUUGCAAGUAGAAGAAAAAGGAAGUACAUUUAUACCUUCCCUGUCAAAGUGAUAUCCCUCAUCAACGGAUAUGCAUUUCUUUCCAGGAAGUAGCCAACAAUUUUACAAACCCAUGGGAGUUUAGGUUGUAAUAAGAAAACAAUUGUGUCCAACAAUAGAGUUGCAGGUGUGUUAGAGUUCACAGGUGCAGCCAAAAGUUGAUUCCUCAAUUGGUUUCUAUCAAGAACAACAUCAAGUAAGAAUAAUUCGGAGGAAAAAUAAAGGCAACUUAUCAUAUAUAUAAAUAUGAUUAGUCUGAAUUCGUUUGCGGAAGGUAAAAAAACCUUUAUGUCAAUUAUAUAUAUCUGAACAAAAUCUAAGAAAUAUAUCACUUUUCAACAAAAGAAAUAUAUCAUAUACAAUUAAAGGAUCAUAGCAUAGAAAGCCAACAAAAUCAACAAUGAUAGAUCAAACAUCUGUUUUUCCAUUCAAAACGUUAAAAAGGAUAAGUUUUUAAUAAGGAAUGUUGAAAUGGAAAAAACUAAUUACCUAUUAUGGUGUACAAUCUGGAUGCAAGCAUAUGCAAAUUUCUUAACUCUGUAAUCCACUAAGGCCUUGUUAAGUACAUAAUCCUUGCUAGCGAAAAUGCUCAACAUAUCCCCUAUAUAUGUAAGAGAGAGAAAGGUUAGAAAGUACUAACACUAAGAGAUAUGUGCUAUCAAUUAGAAACACUUUAAGAUGACAUUAUCAAUUAGAAAACCAAGUAUUAAGCAACAUAAGGGAAAAUAACAAACAAGGGCACCACAGUGGUUCAGAAACCAAUCAAUAUUUCCAUUUGUCACUUUUAUAAUAAUUUCCCAAGGGAAAAUCCUCAUAAUAAGCUUGAGUACCACCUAAUAACGUGUUCAAAUGUUACCAUAAGCAAAAAUGAGUGAUCCUAAAAUUCAUAUGACAAGGAAAGUCGUCAACUAGCAACCGCCAAAUAACAGUUAUAUGGCUAGAAUUAGUUUUCUCCAACUUCAAGAAAAUAAAACAUAUUAAAACAAAAGGAAUUAUGGUGCAAAAUAAUGAAUAUGCUGCAAAGGUAAGAAGUUUCUGAAGGUAAAAAUGGUCAAUAAAAAACAACAUAUAAUUUGACGUAAAUCAAAGUAGAAUUAUUUCUCGCAAUGAAUUCUCUGCCAAUAAUGGCUAAGAGAAGGGGUAUUUAUUGAGAAUUAGUUGGCCAGGCAGAAAUCAUCUAGGGCAUAGUAUUGUUUUAGGUCUGCGACAUUAAAAACAUAAUGAAUGUGUAAGUCUGGUGGUAGUUCUAUUUUGUAAGCAUUAUCUCCGAUCCUCUUUAGGACACGGAAUGGUCCUAAUUGUCUGUCUUUUAGUUUGUUGUAUGUUUCGGUUGGAAAUCGAUUUUUUCUUAGGUGAAUCAUUACUAAAUCUCCCUUGGUAAAGGUAGUUUGUCUUCUUUUUCUGUCUGUUGCGUCUUUGUAGGACUGAGUUGUUUCUUUUAGGUGAUUGUGGACUUCUUCGUGUAAAUUCUGGAUUUUUUCUAUCAUCUUUUCUGCCUCUGAUAGUUAGGGAACUCAACACAUUUUACUUGACCUAACCAAGAUGGCUCUUUGUAUGUAUAUUGCAUGUGUUGUUUGUUUUUUUCUAUAGCUCUUGAUUGUCUCACUUUUUUACGUUUUGCAUUUGCAAUUCUCUUUUCUUUCUUUGGUAUGCAAUGUGGUAACAAGGUCUUGCUAGAACCGGUGGGCUAACCUUUCUAUGGUUCUAAACUUAGUUUCUAAGUUUGACUGCUCCCUUCGGAGUGACAACAAGCCUCGUUUUUCUCCCUACUAUGGAACGGGGAGGAUUCAUUUUCUUUUCAAAGCCCUCGUCAAACUCAAUGCUAAGUUUGACUGCUCCCUUCGGAGUGACAACAAGCCUUGUUUUCCCCUAAUGUGGAUCGGGGAGGAUUCCUUCUCUUUUCAAAGCCCUCAUCAAACUCGAUGCUGUGUUUAGAACGCUAAGAGUAGGUGGUCUGGUUUUGGUUAGGCCAAAAGUGAAGUUUUCCCCCAUUUUUUAUGGGCUUUUUCUAAUGUAUAUUGGAUAUGUUGUUUGAUUUUUUUUAUAGCUCUUGAUUGUCUUACUGUUUUAUGUUUUGCAUUGUCAAGUCUCUGUUUUCUUUCUUUGGUAUGCAAUGUGGUAACUAGGUCUUGCUAGAACCGGUAGGCUAACCUUUCUAUGGUUCUACAUUUAGUUCCUAAUUAAGUUUGAUUGCUCCCUUCGGAGUGACAAUAAGUUUUGUUAAUGUCGACCCUUUUCUAAAGGGAUUUAGUUCACUGUGGCUAGGCAAGAGGUUUCUAACUCAUGUUUGACAAGACAAAUUUGUUAAAACCAUCUUAGUUUCUAAAGAGUGCCUCCUAUCCCUUUUUUACUCUAUCUAGGCUAGGUUUGGACUAAGUGCAUCAUAGGUAAGUCACGACAAAGCAACAAAGGAAGACAAAGCUAGAAAAGUAUUCAUGCACUUAUUUAUUAUACAUGCAAUCAAGCAUUCACAACAUACAUACCAUUUUCUCAAUCAUGCAUUCACACCUCAAUAAGAAAUAGCUAAAAGGAGCUUACAACAAAAAAGACAGCCGCUUAUUCUCAAAUUUCAGCACAUAUACUCAUCAAAAUUUAGAAUUUCACAUUGCAAACCCGAGCUCAGUGCUCAAGGGUUGCCAAUCAUGCUUUUUAUGCAAGAUCUAAUUAAGCUAAGAAGGUAUAAUGCUCAUUUUGUAUGGAAAGAAUUCUGAAAUUUUUUUUAAAUUUGGGCAAAAUUUGAACCCCGAAGUUUAGACUAAACAUGCAAGCUAAGCAAGCUAUUACCCACACCCACUCAAAAAAUUGCUUUGUCUGUCCUAAAAGCUUUUGAAAAUCAAAGUAAAUGGAGAAAAAUAAGGGGGAACUUUGGACUCCCCUAGAAGGAUCGACAUCCUUGACUUUGGUUUGAAGCUUGCAUGGAUAAACCUUUUCAUUCCUUUUUAAUUGAUUAUUCAUCCUUGUUCCUGAAAAUCAAAGGAAAUUCUCUCAAUUUUAUAUAUUACUAAAAUUAGGAUACAUAUAAGUCUUAACUAGUCUAAUAGCACCCUCCAUUCAUCUUCCCCUACACUGGCUAUGGUAUCAAAAUUUUCAAUUAAGUAAUACGUCUACUAACGAACUUGAAAACAAAACACAUCACACUAAAAAACACAAACAUCACUUUAACCCAACAGAAGCUGCUCUUUUUACCCUUGCACUCACUAUCACAUUACUAUCAUGUUUGUCAACUGUCAAACUAACUCUUUUAAGUUAUUUAGUGUGACUACAAAGUUAUGAACACCAUAAUCUUAAUUAAAACCUUUUAAUAAACAAAUGCCAAGUUACUACUCAACAAUGGCAAGGAAUUCAAAAAACAUGACUGUAACGACCCAACUUUUCUAGGUAAGUCGAAGUCAUUAAUUUCAAAUAAGGACCUGAGUUUACACAAAAUCUCAAUCUCAAACAAUUUCAAAGUCUCAAGAAAAACAAAAAUUUAUACCUGGGCCCGGUUUAAAAUAACCAGCACCUUCAAGACAAAUUUACUAAUUCGUGAAUACAGUUCAACUAUAAAAUUUUCUAAACAAUCUCAAGUACUAAACAAAACACGUGAAACAAAACAUUUAGCGGAAGCAAUUUAAAAUAACCCCUAUGGCAAUCACGCUUCCUUUCUGCCCCUCGUCGGUUUGCCGUCUUUAUUACCUUUGCCUGAAAAUUAAACAUAAGGAGGGUGAGUAUAAAAAUACCCAGUACGAGACCCUCUACUGGUCCCGUCAGGGGAAAAUAAAUUGUUAACAUUCUAUUGGGACACCCUGUACAGUCACAGUCUUGUGAUCCCGUAGGAGGCACAUUUCAGUCUAACGCCCCGAGGGACGUACAUUUCAGUCUAGUGUUCUGCAGAAACACAUAUCAGUCUAAUGCUCUUGAAGGUGCAGAAUAAUUGGUGAUCCGUGUGACACCUACAAGGCACACAUCCCAAUAAAAGCUAACAAUUUUUCCCCUCAGUCCAUUCUAAACAUCUUAACAGUCAUUCACAGAUCAGUUAAACAUUCUCAUCACGUAAACUCUUUAUUUAACCUCAAACAGUCGUCUUACUCUAGUUUAGUCCAAGGUCAAUAAAAAAACAUAUCAUUACAUCAGUUAACAAGCUAAACAAUCAUAACCUCCUCCUCAGUCACCAAGGGCACCACCAUGACGUUUCUUCCGUUCACAAGCACACAACAUAACAGUAGAUUAUACACUCAGUCUAGACAACAAUCAAUCUACUAAUCAAAUCCACACUUUAUAUAAGCAACAUCUACGAGAUUCAGUCGUUUCCACAUCCUUAUCUUUGUACACAUACAUAACUAGACAGUCACAACAUAUACUCAACCACAGUCUACAUCAAUCCAUGCACAUAUAUGUAUUAAUUUCUCCCAGUCAAACAUAGCAAACAUUAAACUUUAAGUCAAUGCCCAAACAUACAUCAUAACAGUCAUCUCUACUCAGUUCAAAUCAAUACAUCUUAAUUAGUCAUUAUAUAUUAAUUUUGUUGUUGAGUCUAGUAGAAAAUCCCUUACUUUCAAGUUAGUUAAGCUCCUUAACCACGUUGAAGUCUACGAAGAACGAACCUAAACAUUAAGACAAUUUCUCAAUAAUUCUCUUCAACGCAUCAAUCAUUUAAAUUCAACCCAAUGUGAUUUUUUUUUUACAACUUACCCAAAUCUUCACAAAACGAGUUCCAACUAGAAUCAAUUGUUUGCUGCGAACCCAAUGAAUUCGAGUGUUACCUUCAACCUAUAAUCGAACAGUAAACUAUUUAUCCAACCAAUUAAUCCAGCAAUAUUACUUGAGUUUAUUUUGGAAACAGUUACAAAUUUCAUAACUUCAAUCUUACCAAUCAAAAUUUAAUGACUCGUGGCAAAGCAGGAACGACAGCGAACAACCCAAUCGAAUGGCGUGGGUUUGCUACCUGCGGCAGGACGAAGAAGGAACUCGACGCGCAGAAAGUUGGAUCUGGGGUCUUUAGUUCGGUUCACGGUAGCGAAUUAAAACCUGAUUGCGCGGACGUCAAAGGUGUUAUUCGCGGAAGAAGUCGAGCAGCAGCUUUGCGAAGAGACGACGUGCGACGGAGAGACUGUAUACAGACGGACGGAGAGUCGCGCGGCAGUGCAGAAAACGGAGGAGAAAGGAAUGGGCGGCGGCUGGGCUUGGCUUCGACGGAGACAGAGGCGAUUAGGACGGGGCACGGCGACGCAGAUCUGGACGACGGCGCGGAGACAGAGGUUGCGCGGCGCUGGGCAGAGGGUCAAACGGCGCUGGGCGAAGGGUCACACGGCGCUGGGCGGAAGGUCACACGGCGGCCUUGCUUCGCGAACAGAGAUGGCGGCCGACGGUUGCAGCGGCGGCUGGGUAUGGUAGAAAAGAAAGAGAAACGGAAGAAGAAUAGGGGCGGCGACCGUGGAUCGGAGAAGAAAAGAAGGAUGAAAGCGAUGGUGGUCGGUUGGAGGGUGCGGCUGGAGGUAGGGAUCGGUGAAGGAGAAAAUAGAAAAAGAAAAUGAAGGGGAAAUGGGGGUUGCGCGCGGGAGGAAGAAGAAAGGAAAAAAAAUUCUUUUUUUUUUUUCUUUUCUUUUAUUUAAAUUAAAUAAUAAAACUAAAAUAUAAAUAAAUAUAUAUAUAAUUAUAUUAUCACAUUUUCAAAUCUUCUUUCUCCCCCUUCAUCAUAUUUUCUUCAAAAAAAUAAAUCUUGUACAAAUCGAAUAAUUUUCUUAAAAUAAAUUACCUUCGAGUUUGGGGCGUUACAAUGACAGCUAUAUUGUAACUUGGCACUUGGGGACUUUAAUGGUGUCAAUAUUGUAACUUCUGGUGCCAUGACAAAUAUUGGUGACUGUCAAGAUAAGUUCGCAUAGCCACCGAAAGAUACAUCGUUGCUUUUGAAGAAUGACAAGACUCUAAAUGAUAUAUGCAGCAUUAUUUUGGUUAUAUCCAAUCUUCUUUGAAGGCUAUGUACUUGAAGAUUUUAAUCAAUAAAUAAAAUGAAGUUUAAUUUUUAAAAUAAUAACAUUACAAUGGGAUGGCGAUUGGAAUUGAUUACUUUGGUUAAAAUUUAAGAUUAGAUUAAAAAAAUCAAUUAAUAGAUAAUUCCAUCCAAUCAAAAUAACUAAAUAAAAGACGAGAUUUGAAAAUAUAAUAUCCUAAUAGACACUAAUAGACUUAUAUUAAUAGAUAAUUUCCUGCCGAUGAAAAAUUACUAAAGUUGUACUAUAUUUUAUAAAUAUUUCAAAACAUUACAUAAACACUAAUUAAAGUUGGGUUUAGUAGCAAAAGGUUACAAAUUUAUUGACACCUUUUUUAGGAAAAAAAAUACCUUGACAUGAUGUAAACUAAAUUUGUAAUCAGCAUUGAAAUCUUUACUAUACUAAAUGGGCUCGUGGAGAAAAAAUUAUAUACAUCUAUUUUAUUCUUAAAUUGUCGAAAAAAAAUUAUAUUACCUUUUGUGAUCUAACGUAGUUGUGACUUUUAUAGUGUAAGUGUCCAUUUUAAUGUUUGGAAAGAUGAUUUUUCCAAUUUUUUAGUUUACAAAAUAAAGUUCUAUAUUUCAUAAAAUAAAACCUUAUGUUGAAUAUAUGUAACUAAUGUUGAUAGGAUGUGAUUGGUUGAUCUUCAAGAUACGAUGCAUUCUGUUUAGAGUGGAGAUGGUUGCACACACAUCAAAUUGGUGCAUUGAUUCCUCCAAAUUUACAUGUGAAAUGUAAAUGUAAAAGAAAAACAAAACAAACUCUUGCAGUUACACAUUAGGAAAAAAAAACGUCACGAAAUUCCAAAGUUCAAAAGAAAACAAACAUACACAGGGAUUUAAUUGAUUCAAAGUAGUAACAAAUGGUGAAAAAAUGCAUAAUUUGUUGUGAUUUCACAUUAACAUGUUAGAAUAAAAAAUUAUCGUAUUCUAUAUAUUACAAUAUUGGAUCAAAUAUUAAUACAUUAAUUUAAUUAUUUAAUUACUACAUCAAUGAAUUUCUUUUUCUUUUUUAAAUAAUAAUUUUACCAUUAAUAUUAUAUAAUAUUUGUUUAUUAUAUGCUAAAGCAUAUUUAAAAAUUAAAUAGAAUUAAGAGAUUUCACGUGAAUUUAUGCACAUGUUUCAACUGAAAAGAUGGAAACAAUAGUCACAAAUUAUUUUUUCCUAAAACAAAACAUUCGUAACCAAAUCUAAAUAUGCACUUUCAUAACUAAGGACCAAAACUCAUAUUACGUAGAAUUGAGCAUGGUUUAAAUGAAAUUAUUAACAAAAUACUUACACUUUAAACCAGGUUUUUUGGCAACAUACAUAGUGAGAAAAUUCCAAAUUUACCCUCUUACUUGUAUCUUUUCAAUAAAAAGUGCAUCUUAGUUGUAAUUAUGUCAAAAUAAAAAUAAAAAAAUAACUCGUCAGUUAACGUGGUUAUUCAUUAAUUGAUUUGGGUGAACUUUCUGAAGAUAAAAAUAACAAAAACAAACAAACAAAAGACUAGAACAUGUUAUUUAAUUAUGUAAUUACAACUUCCCUUUCUCCUCCGUGAGAAAAAAAACCAUUUCUCUAAAUUUCAUCUAUAUAUGUGUAUUGAUCAAAUGACCCAUAUCAAUAAGGACACAAAAUUGGCAAAGAACAAAUAAAUUAAAAUGGACAAUAACUCUUGUUUCAUUACUUUCUCUCUCAUUGGAGUUCUUUUGUUCACCAUCAUUUCAAAUGUGGCAUCAUCUAACGACGUUGUUUCUACCAUCUGUUCAGAAAUCUCAAAUCCACAAUUUUGUUUAAGUGUGUUGAAAUCUGCAGGCACUACAGAUCUAAAAGGCUUGGCUGUAUACACCUUAAACCUUGCUCAUUCAAAUGCUGGCAAAUCUUUGAUCCUAGCCAACUCACUAGCAAAAGCCACCACCAAUCCUCAACUUAAGCAACGAUAUUCAUUUUGUGCUGAGAGCUAUGAUGAAGUUGUUGGUGACAUUGAAAAUGCUCAAAACGACUUGGCACUUGGGGACUUUAUUGGUGUCAUUAUUGCAACUACUGGUGCCAUGACAACUCUUGGUGAUCACUGUCAGAAUAAGCUCUUGCAGCCGCCGAAGGAUACAUCGUUGCUUUUAAAGAAUAGCAACACUCUAGAUGAUAUAUUUAGCAUUAUUAUGGUUAUAUCCGAUCAUCUUUGAGGGUUAUGUACUUGAACAUUUUGAUCAAUAAAUAAACUGAAGUUUAAUUUUUAAAAUAAUAUUACAAUGUGAUGGUGAUUGGAAUUGAUUACUUACUUUGAUUAAACUUGAGAAGAUAAAGAAAAUCAAUUAAUAGAAACGUUCACCGACACACAUUGUCAGCACGUCGGAGAAAGCCUAAACUUUUUUUUCUUUUCUUUUACGUUCUGUUUUCUUUUCUUUGUUUGCCAUCAUCAUCGUCAUCUUCUUCUUCUUCUAGCUUCUUACGUUCUGUUUCAAUUGCAUACUUCUGUUAUUCUUGUAAUUUCUUCGUGGUUUUCUUUUUAACUUUGUGUUUCAGUGUGGAUUCAUAAACACAUUUUUCAGUGCUCUGGAUUCUGGAUCUGUUAUGAUUUGAAAGGGUACAGUGAAGUGAAAAGUUGAAAUGGAAAAGAAAAAAAAGAAGAAAAGAGGACACUUCUCGCGGUGGUGGCGGCAAAGACUGACGUCGACGACAACACAACUCUCCUCCUCUCCCUAUAUCUCGGCCGAUUUUGGGUUUAUUUUCGUUUUGCAUUCUGUUAUGUGUAGAAGGGAGAAUAAAUAGUGUGGACUUUCCCCGACAUCUUCGAAAACGUUGGGAAAUUUACCUUUUCGCCGACGUAUGUAGUACACACGUCGGAGAAAGUUUAAAUAAUAAAUUCAUUAUUUAAACUUUCCCCGACGUACUCCUGUCAUACGAGUCUAAAUUAAAUUUAAUGCGUUCUCCUUCGGCGAUGUGUGUCAAGGUGACGUUGGAAAAAGUUUAAACACUAAUGCAAUUAUUUUAAAUCACAUAUGUUAUCGCUUAUAUGGCAUAAGAGUCUAUUAACGAUAGAAAUCUAUCUUGAUAGGUUUUGCUACAUUUACAAUUUUUAAAAAAUAUUCUUAUAUACUUAACUAUUAUUCCUAAAAUUGCUAACCCAUUAUACUUACCCUAAGUUAAAUGUAUAAUGUCAAAAGUAAGUUUACUACGAAGGUAAUCUAUGUGACCCUUUUAUCCUAACGUAGGAAGUUUGUUCCACUCCAUACCAUUAUUGAACUAAAAGGAUUAAGUGUGUAUUAAUAUGUUUAAACAAGUAUAAUUAUAGCAAAAUCUAUAAGUGAUAUAUUGAUAUUAGCAAUACAAUACGCGUCACAUAUGCAAACAUUUUGUGUCUAAUCGUUGUAUUUACAAUUAACUCCAUUAAAAUAUUACAAAUAGAAAUAGAACUCUUUAAUCUAUGUUCAGUUAGGAUCACAAACUACAAAAUGAAAGCAUGGAACAAAUUUAAUUUUUUUUUUCUUUAAAGGAAAUUUUGUGUGUAGCACAUUAUAUUUUUUUCUUUCCUUUAAAAAACAUUAUUGAUCUUAUGAUAUUUGACAUAUAUUAUAUUUUUUUAAGAAUGUAAAUAAUGUAAAUAAUGUGCCAAAUAAUUGAAAACAUGUUAUCCAAAACAGAGAAUGGUUAAGAAAUUGUUGACAUUUAGUCAAAUUAAUAAAUAAUUCAAAAUUGUGUUUGAUUUUUGAAUUUGAAAAGAUAGUAAAUUAGAAGUGUUUUGAAAUAGUAUUUACGAGAAGAUUUUUAAUUUUAAAUAGCAUUAUAGUAGCUAUGGAUGGUUAUAUAAUAGUCUACACAAUCUUUGUCACAAAUGAUUAAUUCGAUUUUUUAAAUCAAGUCUAAUGUUUUUUUUUUUUUUUUUUGCCUAUUUCUUACCAUAAUUUACAUUUUUUGUAAGUAUAAUGGUUGAAUGCAAAAAGAGAGCUGACUAGUAAGUGCAAAAAGAGAUCUCACAAGCUUCUGCAAAAGCUAAUCAAGCAACCCAAAUCAUAAACGAGGAGAAAAGUUGAUUGGUUAAGCUUUGUUGUAGUAAAGAAGUCAAAGUGAACAUGGAACGUUCUUCACUCUCAAAGAACAUCGCCAACAUAUAGAUUAUAUACUUUUUCUGGUAUUGACCCAAAAAACACAAUCCAAGUGUAUUUUUGGUGAGAUGCAUAGUUUAACUAAACCGUGUUAUUACAAAAUUUUUAAUUACUAGGAACUCCUAAUGAAACGAAUACAUUAUUUUUAUAAUUACGAGGUAAAAUGGAAACAUACAAACUACUAAAAAAAGUUGCAAUUCGAUUAUUGGGAUUCAAUCUACUCUCCAUGAAUGUUCUUGAAAUGAGAGUUUUUAAGCAGCUACAACUUGCUUAUGUAUAAAAGCAAAACCCUUCUCAACGCCUACCUUCAGUUUUGGCUUUAGAGCUUCAAGUGAUUUUUGCCCCUACUCAGAUAAACCCUGAAGAUCAGAUGUUACAAAGGCUUCAAUUCCACAUGCAAAAAUCAUGUUCAUGAACCAAAAGCACCUUAAGCUUCUCUUCGAUAUCUUUGAGCUCACUGGAUAAAGAACUGAUUUCUAAAGCAAUCAUCUCUACCAUAUCCUCAUCGUUCCCACUGUCUUUUAAUAAGGUUGGCAUGAUAAUCACAACAAAGAAGAAGAAACUAAGAUCAAUUUAACAAAUUUUAUGUUGGGAAACUUUUUUAAGAACAACUACUUAUAAACCAACCUUAGCUUUGGCCUCACAUUCCUUGAAUUUUCUAAAAGUAGAUACCACCUGUCCGGGCAACCCACACCAACCAACCAAGAGUAAGUUAGUGUGAAAGACACUUAUUUAAUGAAGAAUAUGUAAAAGAGGUCAUUCCAACUGUUACACAUAAUAGUAUUGGAGGCAGAUAACCUUGCCAUACCUCAUCAAGUUCUGAUAUUGAUUGAGCUAGUUUUUGAUACUCUGUGGGGUUUGAGACAAUAUCUGGAUUGACCAGCUUAACCUAAAUAAUAAUAUCGAUAGUGAUUAUUGUGUAGGAAAAUAUUAAAGCUAUAACCAAAUCAAAAGCAUAAUUGGAAAUACAUCAAAGAUGUAAAUGCAAAUUUCAAAAGUGGAUCUACAGAAUGUAAGGGGAAGAAACUCAAAUAAAAUUACUUUAUUAGUUAUACGACUACUAUAGAGAUUCCAGAUACACCACAGUUCCACGUCCUCUUUCAGGAGGAAAGCAAUGGUUAAAAAUUAAUUGUGAAAACUAAAGAAGGUCCUGUUCAAAUCCUAACAGCAAUAGGAAAGCAAGGAGUUAUAAGGUGAUCACUAUAGCCAAAUCCAAAAUGCAUUCAAUAUUUGUCUUCCAAUUUCAUUAUCAAGUGCAUAGGCAAGGUCCCUAGUGAGGAAGUUAUUCGUUCUUUUCUUCAUUUUCUAUAGCUCUAGAAGUAGCUAAAUGGAAUCGUCAAGCACCUAAUCUAUUAAUUUUAAAACUCAAAAGUUCACCGCGGGAUUCUAGUCACUGCUGAAACAACAUAGAGUUCACUAGUUCCACAGUUAAAUUAAUUGCAAAUUGCAUUUCCUGGCAUUUUCAAGAAAAAAAAAAUGCACAAAUCAUAAUAUGAUGAAGUAGAAAAAUUUUGUGAGCUCGACUUUUCCAGGACAUAUCUUAGCUACUUCUCCUAUUCCAGCUCGAUAACCAUUGUACUUUAACAAUUGAAACAUUAAUCCAAUAGUUAACAAUGUUCUGCACUUUAUGCCCUUACAUUUCCAACAACUUGAUGCAUACAUCAGUAGUUAACACAGGCACGAGCUCUUAAAUUCAAUGCAAAAUAACAGUCCCAUUCCAAGCAUAGACACCAAAUACAAACAAUUGAUGGACUUGAAUCAGUGAAGAAAUAAGAAUGUCAUUUAACAGCAAAGCACAAAUUACCGAUAAUUUUUUCCACGUCUUCUCAGCAGAUUCCAAUUUCACGAUCAAAUAAGGUUCCUAAAAUAAAGCAAUCACCAUCAUCAUUUUCCACAAAUAUGAUUCGAACUAGUUUUACCACAAAUUAAUUUCUAGUAACUUGAAGAAAAACUCAGUGAACUCAAAGCAUAACGAAACUCAAGUUCUGUUAAAGCCAAUCCGAACAAUAAGAUAUAGACAUAUUGUGUUCUCGAAAGAAAAACAUUCAAUAAAUCUAACAGCCAUGCAAAUUAGAGUUGAAGCUCUAAAGGGAGGUGCAAAGCAUUUAAGUUCCAGAGAGCAUCUUCUGAAGGCGAUGAGCCCAUAAGAUGAAAAAAAGGCCUCAAGUGAGGAAGAAAGACGCCAUCCAAACAUGAAAAAAGGAAGAAAGGCAAGAUUUUGGUAGCUCCAGACCUGAGGGAAGCCAACAAGGUGGCGAGGGAGGCAAGGCCCCAAAGUUUAGCAUUGCCAGCAAAGUGAAGGUAGAGAAGGACCUUUCCUUUCGACGUGGCCCUCCGAGAGUUUAUGGACGCCCCAAUUGGGGCGUUUGGAUGGAGUAAGUUCUUCAAGGGACUUCCAAGAUUCGAUGGAGGUUGUCAAGAAAUUCUACGCAUCAGAUUACAACCACUACAAGGAAUUUCAGAUCAACCAACACAAUUUAACACUAUUGGGAGAAUCCACGAAUUCUUGGUCAAGUAGAAGAACCUCCAUGUGGAAGAAACAAAUUGUGAACGUGUCGAAGACCUUGAAGUGUGGAAAUGGAAGAUCAAAGAGUUCCAGCUUCGCCAGUCGACAGGGACGUCAACUGUUUAAGUAGGGGAGAAUGUCAAGAGCAUGCUUGUCCAAGGCAUUGUUUGCCCAUGGCCGCAUGGCCGAACAUCCUCAAACCGCCUUAUAUUUAUGUCUUAUACUUAGUUUAGCCAUUUUGUUUCCUUUUGUUGUCGCCGACCUAGGGUGUGACGUUUCAAAAUUUUCAUAUGCAAGUCUGUCAUAGCUAAAAAUGUUUAAAAUGUACUAUAGGGAAGACAUAGUAGUUGAAUCCCUGACCAAGCCUUGUUGCACUCUUUGCAUUCUAAUCUUUCUUUGCAAUUAACAGUCUUCAAUGCUUUCUUUAACGAUGUUUUCAAUUCUUUUCUUCUCUUCUUGUCUUAUAAAAAUAAAUUUCUCUCAAAACAUGAAAGAGGCUAUACCGUACUGCGUGCUUUUUGCGACUUCUGGAUUUCAUACAGCUUACUUGUUCACCGAGCUAGAACAAACGUCGCAUAAUCACCAUCCCCUAUUUGAAAAUUUACGAUUAUGACAGCAUGCGGUGAGGUGCACGCGGCAUGUGUGGGCCCAAGCCAAGCAUGCAACUGGCAUUCUGAUACUCUAUGCACGUGCAUGCUGCCUGCGCCCAUGCCGUGCAGCCAGCAUUGUCAUGACGUAGUUUUUGGGAUGUUUGGUGUUUUGGGAAAUUUUGAGCAAAUUCUGGAUGUUCGAGCAUGCGGAUGUUCUAUGCAAUGCAACCAGCAGCCCAUAUGUUCUAUGUUCUCUUUACGGUCGUAUGUGCACAUUUGGUUAACUCUACUACUAAUGGGAAAGUUGACGAGCCUAUGCUGAAUUCAUCAGGAAAGGUGUACUUUGUUGAGCCCAUUGAGGAGAAGGAUACCUUCUUUUUUCGAAGAGGUGUUUCAAUGCCUAGGCCGUCUUUUGACAAUGAGGUGUUAAUAUUACCUAGACUUCAUGCUAAGAACGGGUUGUGAAUUUAUAAUCAAGAAUGCAGUUCGAGUAUCAUGUCUUUCAAAUGAUUUCCAACAGCUUGAAUGUUUCUAUAAGACAAGAAUUUAUGCUUAACUGUUUUAGAAAGCAUGUUUUAUAAAAAUUGUCACUCACUAAGUCUUUCGACUUAUCCUUUCAAAUCAUUUCUCACUUUUCAGGUAUGGAUUAUGCAUUCCCUAAUGUUAAGCGUAUUGCUGCUGAGCCAACCAGUUACUAGAAAUUGUUAAGUCAUUUUGAAAGUUAGUUUUGACUUUGUAAGAAAAGUUCAGGAUGAGCAUGUCUAUGUUUAUUGUUAAAGUUCCAAUGUUAUAAGUUAGUUUAGUAAAAAGGUCACUGUCAUGUUUAAAGCUUCUGCUGAUGUAUCACAAUAGUUGUAACUAGUGGUUUAAGUUAUUAGUAAAAGCAUGUAGCUUGUAUCGCUGUUUGUUUUGAGCAUGCAUUCAUGUUGUAACUGGUAGUUAAGUUAGAAAGGUUAGUCGGUUGGUAAGUUUUGCCAAGGUAUGGCAAUCCUUGCCAACCCUCGCACCUUCUUUCAGAGCUAGAUGUUGUUCAGAAAAUAAGGAGCUUUGGGAGGGGGUGGUGACAACAACACCAUCCCACUAGAGUACGCAAUGAUGCAUUAUUGUUUAAUUAAGUCAUAUAUACUUCCACAAUUUGGAUAGGAAUUUAACUCAUUAGAAGGUGUCCUAUAGAAUUUCUCAGUGAAAAGUUCAGAGAAGCUACAAACAAAUGUCACUACCGAACAACAAUCAUAUACAUGGGUUAGGGCUUUGAGCAGUGUGAACACAACUUAAUAAUAAAUAUGAAGUCGUCCUCUUUUCAUCAUUAGUCAGAAGAAUUCUUAAACUUUCUAAAAAUAAUUGUCAAAUAAUUGAUUAUAUAGUAUGCCAUUUAUUUGGAAUACAAUUUUUUCAUUACCAGGAAAGGAGACUUCUCACUAAGUAAAUGUAAAGAGACUAAUGCUAUAAUUUGAAUUGGAAAAUAUAAUUUCAUAAUUAAGCAUCGAAUAGGGACUAGUUAAGAAGUACACACUUUAGUUUGCCAGAGUCCAUGUUCUACACAUGUUAGCCACUCUGUCAUUGGUUUAGCAGUAAAACAAAGGAUGUGUUUAGGAUGUGAGCCACACAAAAGGGAAAGAAAACAGAAGGCGCAGUGAGCCACACAAAAGGGAUCGAAACGAAUGUUCAGAAAUAUCGGAAGGAUCGAAGAAAUAUGGAAGGAAAGACGAGGAAAAAACAACAGACCGGAGCAAGUUCAAGAAGGUAGAGAUCCCGAUCUUCAAUGGAAUAGACCCCGAUUCAUGGUUAUUUCGCGCCGAUCGUUAUUUCAAGAUACACAAGUUGACUGACUCAGAGAAGUUAAUGGUAGCGGUAAUCAGUUAUUAGGACCAGCUUUGGAUUGGUAUAGAUCAAUUGAUGAAUUGGAACAAUUCAAGAGUUGGGAAGAUUUGAAGCAAAGGUUGUUGUCCGAUUUCAGACGAUUCGGGAUGGAACACUCGUAGGCAGAUUCUUAAGGAUUAAGCAGGAAACGACAGUAGGGGAAUAUAGAAACAGUUUCGAUAAAUAUUUAGCUCCGGUAGCCUUCCUCCAGACCAUAGUAUUAGAAGAAACCUUUAUGAAUGGGCUAAGCCCAUGGCAUAAAUCCGAAGUUGAAACGCUGGAGCCCAUAGGUUUGGCCAAGAUGAUGUAACUAGCCCUGAAAUUGAAAAUAGAGAGAUGGUUCGUCGAGAAUGUGGGCUUAGUAGUGUUUCGGGAAUGAAUCAACAAUUCAAGCAUAAUAACGUAAAGCAAACCUCGACAGUAACACCCAAUCAGAAACCCACGGAAGGGAGCUGGCCAAUGAGAACGAUUACGUUAAAAAGAGUGACGGCAGAUGAAAAGAGGAGGGAAGGUCCGACCAAGCGUCUUUCCAACGCUGAAUUUCAAGCACGGAGGGAAAACGGUCUGUGUUUUCAGUGUGAGGAGAAGUAUCACGCUGGACAUAGGCGUAAGGUGAAGGAACAGAAGGAAUUACGGAUGUUAGUAGUAAAGGAAAUGGGAGAAGAACUGGAAAUCAUUGAGGAUGAACACUUUGAUGUGGAAACGGAGGCCCAGACCAUUGAAAUUGAAAAAGUGGAGAAUAUGAAUAUAGAGCUGUCCAUUAACUCAAUUGUGGGGUUAUCCAACCCUGGAACCAUGAAACUGAAAGGGAAGAUAAAAGAGACCAAAGUGGUAAUAAUCAUCGACAGUGGAGCCACCCACAGUUUUAUUGCAAAAAAUUUUGUAACCACCCUUAGCCUACCAAUGACAGAAACGUCCAACUAUGGAGUGAUUUUGGGAUCAGGGGUUGCGGUCAAAGGAAAAGGAAUCCGCAGUAAUGUUGAAGUGACGGUAGGAGAGUGGAAAAUUACAAACAACUUUUUACCCUUGGAAUUAGGGGUGGUUGCACUCAUUGGGCAUGACUGAAUUUGAUAUGAAAAAUUUGGUGAUGACAUUCCGACAUGGAGGAAGGAAGAUAGAGAUAAAGGGGGACCCUAGUGUCACCAAAACCCAAGUGAGCCUAAAGUCUAUAAUUAAGACAUGGGGAGCUGAUAAUCACGGUUAUUUGGUAGAAUGUCGGGCCAUGGAGGGAAGGCUAGCUGAGGAAGGCUUAGAGGAUGAAGAAGUGCCAGCCACUGUUGACAACAUGAUCUCUCCUCUGUUGAGCAAAUUUAAUGAUGUUUUUGAUUGGUUGGAAGAGCUGCCUUCGAAGAGGAACAUUGAGCACCAUAUACCCCUUCAGAAGGGGGUGGAUCCAGUUAAUGUCAGACCUUAUCGUUACGCACAUCGGCAAAAGGAGGAAAUUGAAAGACUAGUUGAUGAAAUGUUGAAGACAGGCAUCAUAUGACCGGGUACCAGUCUGUAUUCCAGCCCAGUCCUUCUCGUGAAAAAGAAAGAUGAUAGCUGGCAAUUUUGUGUAGAUUAUCGGGAGUUGAACAAUGUCACUAUCCCAGAUAAGUUCCCAAUUCCGGUCAUAGAUGAGUUAUUCAAUGAGCUGAAUGGGGCCAACAUGUUUUCGAAGAUUUAUUUAAAGGCGGGUUAUCACCAAAUCAGGAUGCAUCUGAGAGGUGUAGAGAAGACGGCCUUUCGAACACAAUGAGGGACACUAUGAGAUUCUUGGUCAUGCCCGUUUGAGCUAACCAAUGCCCCCUCUACGUUCCAAGCAUUAAUGAACCACAUCUUUAAGCCUUAUAUGAGAAAGAUUCGUAUUAGUGUUUUUCGAUGACAUUUUGGUGUACAACAGGGGAGUAGAAGAACAUGGACAGCAUCUGGAAGUAGUCUUGGAGAUCCUUCGAGAGAAUGAAUUGUAUGUGAAUUUAGCCAAAUGUUGCUUUGCCAAAAGUAGAAUAGGUUAUUUGGGGCAUUUCAUAUCCGAAAAGGGAGCUAAAGUUGAUCCAGAAAAAAUAAGGGCAAUUAGGGGAAUGGUCGAUUCCCACUAGUGUGCGAGAAGUUCGAGGUUUCUUAGGACUCAAUUGAUACUAUAGGAAGUUUGGGCAGAAUUAUGGCAGUAUCGAAAGCCCUUUGACACAGCUUUUGAAGACAGGAACUCAUUGUUGGACUGAAGAAGCAAGUGCUGCCUUUGAGAAGUUGAAGAUGGCAAUGAUGAUUCUACCGACGUUAGCUAUGCUGGACUUUAAUCUACCACUCGAGAUAGAAACAUAUGUAUCUUGUUUUGGUGUGGGGCCGUUUUAGUACAAGCCAAGAGACAAAUAUCCUUCUUUAGUAAAACCUUAUGCAUGUGGGAUAGAGCGCGACUGGUUUAUGAAAGAGAAUUGAUAAUAGUAGUGUUUGCGGUGCAAAGGUGGAGACCAUAUUUGUUAGGGAAGAAAUUUACAGUGAAAACUGAUCAGAAGUCGCUCAAAUUUCGGCUAGAACAAAGGGUGAUUCAACCCUAAUACCAAAAAUGGAUAGCCAAUCUUUUGGGAUAUUCAUUUGAGGUAGUCUGCAAUCCUGGAUUGGAGAAUAAGGCAGCCGAUGCUCUAUCUAGAACACCCCGUAUAGUGCACUUAAAUCAAAUAUCAGCCCCAACACUACUCGAUUUAGUGGUGAGUCAAGAAGAGGAAAAGAGGGAUCAAUACCUACAGGAAAUCCAGAAGAAAAUAGAAAGAACAAAAAGUGAAAGUUCCAAACUUUUCAGUACAGCAAGGGGUAUUGAAAUACAAAGGAAGGUUGGUGCUGUCAAAAACAUCCGUUCUACUACCCACUAUCAUGCAUACCUAUCAUGAUUUUGUCUUUGGAGGACAUUCAGGGUUCCUAAGAACGUACAAGAGGAUGACCGGAGAGAUUUACUAGGAAGGAAUGAAGAAAAACAUAAAGAAAUACUAUGAAGAAUGUCUUGUAUGCCAAAGGAAUAAAACACUUGCAUUAUUACCUGCUGGAUUGCUGCUGCGCACUUGAGAUUCCUAACACAGUGUGGUCGGAUAUUUCCAUGGAUUUUAUAGAUGGACUUCCAAAAUCAGCUGGAAAAGAAGUGAUUUUUGUGGUUGUAGAUUGUCUGAGUAAGUAUGCACAUUUUACAGCUAUAAAUCAUUCUUACAUGGCCAGCUUCGUAGCAGAAGUUUUUGUUAAAGAAGUGGUGAGAUUGCACGGUAGCAUGUAUCCGCAGUAAGUUGUAUCGGAUCAAGACAAAAUCUUUAUUAGUCAUUUCUGGAAGGAAAUGUUCAAGUUAGUGGGAACUAAAAUAAAUAGAAGGAAAUGUUCAGGUUAGUGGGAACUAUGCCCAUAUACACCAAGUUCGAAUAUAGAACUUGCUUCUUACUGAAAAAAUAAUGAUUAUGGGACUUGCUAUAAGGGUAUCCAAUACUCGAAGUAAAUGAAUGAUUACAAAAUGAUUGUUUCCUCAGUUUGAAGAAGAACAACAAAAAAGAAAAGAAGGAUAAAAAUAAAAAAAAAAACAAACUUUCUUUUUGAAAUUCUAAAAGAAUCCAAAAAGACUUCAAAAGGUGCAACCAAGAAAGGAGGUCAAAGAAGGGCUCUGAUAGACCCCCCUAUCAUACGUCAAUAUAGUCAAAAAAAAAAAGAGAGAGAUCACAAGGGAACACACAUGCGAAGAAGAAAAGAUUUAAAGGAUUGUUAGAAGAAAAGAUUUAAAAAGCUUGUUGGGCGUCGGUUAGAUUUGAGGAGAUUUAGGAGGGUCGUUAGGUGUUGAUUAGAAUAAAUAAGGAUAGGGAGGAAAGAGGAGGGUAUGCUGAGUUUAGAAGAAAAUUGACUCAUGCUCUUCCUUGAGCGAUAGGAUAGCAGAGAGGGAAUUAGAUUGUUUUUCGAAUUGAGUCCUCCUCAAUUUGAGUGUUCUGAUAUUUUGAUUUUCCUUGUAACUCAUUCUUUGAUUGAAGCAAUAAAAGUUCUAAUUGGAUUUCCAAAAGAGUUCUAUCAAAUUGGUAUCAGAGACAGUUUUUUCUGACCAAGAGGAAAAUGAUGGUCCAAACACGAAUGAAGGAGAGAAUGGAGGCGCACGACCAGGAGAUGCAUUUGAUGAGAAGCGAGAUAAGCAAAAUUUCGACAAUGAAAGAAAUAUUAGCCACGAUCAGCGUACAGACAAAGAAGACUCACAAAAUGUUGAUAAUGUUCAUGGAAUCGAUUACCAGAGAGCAUAUCGUUAUGAGUGAGAAAAUGGCCGAGUCGAGUGUGCGAGAGACAGUAUCAACAAUAACGAAUAAGAAGGAAGGCUCGAUCGAAAAGGACCAUGAGCACGAAACAAAGGAUGGAAAGAUAGAAGGAGAAGACGGAGCGAACGAGCAUAAUAAGUUCAAGAAGGUUGAGAUGCCAGUUUUCAACACGGAAGAUCCCAAUUUUUGACCCUUUCGAGCAGAUAGAUAUUUUCAGAUACACAAAUUGACUGAUGCUGAGAAGGUCCUGGUUGCGACCAUUAGUUUUGAAGGCCCGACGCUGAACUAGUAUAGGGCGCAAGAAGAACACGACAAGUUUACCAGUUGGUCGAACCUCAAGGAGAGAAUACUCAUCCGUUUUCAAUCAGCAAAAGAGGGGUCCAUAUGCGGACAAUUUUUUAGGAUCGGAUAACAGACGACAGUAGAAGAAUAUCGAAACCAGUUAUAUAAGCUGAUGGAACCGUUAUCCGAUCUACAAGACAGAGUGGUGGAGGAAACAUUCAUGAACGGUUUACUGCCGUGGAUUAAAGCAGAAGUGGAUUUUUGUCGUCCGGUCGACGUGGCUCAAAUGGUGCACGCGGCUCAACUCGUAGAAAAUCGAGAGAUAAUUCACAAUGAGGCCAACCUUAAGGGGUACGCCCAAGGAAAAUAUCCGCCUCAAGGUUCUAGGCAAAAUACGAGUGCUGCGACGGUGAACGAUAGCGACAAUAAGAGAAAUACAUUAUUUUCGAUGAGAACGAUUACUCUGAGAACGACAUCCAGAGAAGUUAAGAGAGGGGCAGGCAAAGCGAUUGUUAGACGCGGAGUUUCAAGUCAGGAAGGAAAAAGGACAUUGUUUCCGUUGUAAUGAGAUAUAUUAUCAUGAUCAUCGAUGCAAAAACAGAGGGCAAAGAGAGUUGAGAAUGUACGUGGUCAGGGCGAAUGAUGAAGAAUUUGAAAUCAUAGAAGAAGUGGGAGAAAAUGAAUUGUUUGGAAAUCACAUAAGAAGAUCAUGUUGUCAUCGAACUGUCAAUUAAUUCGGUGGUGGGGCUGAACAAUCCGAGGACAAUGAAGGUGAGGGGGAAUAUCAGUGAGCGAGAAGUUUUCAUUUUCAUUGAUUGUGGAGCAACGCACAACUUCAUCUCCGAAAAGAUAGUAAAGGAGUUACAACUGGCCACGAAGGCAACGUCGCACUAUGGUGUAAUCUUGGGCUCGGGGGAGGCGAUAAAAGGUAAAGGAGUAUGUGAGGACGUGGAAAUCAAGUUGAACGGGUGGAAGGUGGUGGAAAAUUUGUUACCCUUAGAAUUGAGAGGGGUAGAUGUUGUGUUAGGAAUGCAGUAGUUGUAUUCAUUGGGCAUGACGGAAGUAGAUUGGAGGAACCUCACAAUGACUUUUGUGCAACAAGGAGAAAAGGUAGUGAUAAGAGGAGACCCAAGUUUGACCAAAUCCAGAGUGAGUCUCAAGAACAUGAUCAAAAGGUGGAAGGAUUCGUGAUCGAGUGCCGAGCAAUGGAGAGAGUCUUUGAGCCACAGGAAGAUAACGGGAUUGAAGAAGUAUUAACUACUGAUGAAGCAGUAUCGGUCGUGUUGAAGAAUUUUGAAGAUGUUUCUAAUUGGCCGAAGACACUACCCCCGCAAAGAAAUAUUGAACAUCACAUUCAUUUGAAACAGGGCACUGAUCUGGUAAAUGUUCGACCCUAUAGAUACGCUUAUCAACAGAAAGCUGAGAUGGACAAACUUGUGGAUGAGAUGUUGACAGCUGGAAUUAUCCGUCCCAGCAACAGUCCAUAUCUAGUCCAGUUCUAUUGGUAAUGAAAAAAGAUGGCAGCUGGCGUUUUUGCGUAGACUACCAAGCGCUGAACAAUGUAACCAUUCCAGACAAAUUCCCUAUUCCGGUGGUUAAGGAGCUUUUCGAUGAAUUAAAUGAAGCAAACUGGUUUUCAAAGAUUGAUUUGAAGGUGGGGUACCAUCAGAUCAAAAUGUGUGGAGAAGACAUCGAAAAAGCAGCAUUCCGAACACAUGAUGGACACUAUGAAUUUAUGGUUAUGCCAUUCGGCUUAACUAAUGCCACAUCCACUUUCCAAGCUCUGAUGAACUCAACAUUCAAACCAUUUUUGCAGAAGUUCAUAUUAGUGUUUUUCGACGACAUACUAAUCUACAGUGAGAACUUGGAACACCAUUUGAAGCACAUUGGGUUAGCAUUGGAAAUCCUGAGAAAGAAUGAGUUAUAUGCAAACAAGAAGAAGUGCAGCUUCGCACAAGAACGUAUUGAUUAUUUGGGUCAUAUCAUUUCAAGACAAGGAGUUGAAGUGGACCUUGAGAAAAUCAGAGCAAUCACGGAAUGGCCUAUACCCAGUAAUAUAAGAGAGGUACGGGGAUUCCUAGGCCUCACCUGUAACUAAAGAAAGUUCGUUCAGCACUAUGGCUCCAUUGCCGCACCAUUGAUUCAACUACUUAGGAAAGGGGGAUUCCAGUGGACUGAGGAGUCUAAGGAGGCAUUCCAACAACUACAAAAUGCGAUGAUGACCCUGCCCGUUUUGGCGUUGAAAAAAUUUCAAUGCCACAUUUGAAAUGGAAACCGAUGCAUCGGGAUAUGGGGUAGGAGUCGUACUCGUCCAAGCCAAGCGUCCCAUAGCAUACUUUAGUCAUACGUUAGCCUCAAGAGAUAGAGCCAAGCCUGUACAUAAAAGGGAAUUAAUGGCAGUGGUCUUGCAUGUGCAACGAUGGCGACCAUAUCUGUUGGGGAGAAAAUUUAUUGUGAAGACCGAUCAGAAAUCCUUGAAGUUCUUGUUAGAACAAAGAGUGAUACAGCUUCAGUAUCAGAAAUGGGUAGCGAAGCUAACGGGAUACUCAUUUGAGGUGGUCUACAAACUCAGCUUGGAGAAUAAAGCAGUAGACGCCUUGUCUUGGAUGCCUCCUACAAUUAACCUCGGUAGCAUAACAGCUCCUACAUUGGUUGACAUUCUGGUGACUAAAAAGGAAGUCAAAGCGUAUGAAAAAUUAAGCAAAAUAAUGGAAGAACUACAAGCAAUGGAAGAAGUAACAGAGGGUAAAUUCUCCAUCCGACAAGGUAUGUUAAGAUAUAAGGAUAAGUUUGUGUUGUCCAAAACAUCUACAUUGAUACCCACAAUCCUACAUACUUACCAUGAUUUGGUACUUGUGAGGAAUGUGUAAUAUGUCAGAAGAACAAGUCCCUAGUGUAACGAGCAUACUUGUCCAAGGUGUGUUUACCUAUGGCCGUAUGCUCCGAUUAGCCCCAAUUUACCUUGUCUUUAUGUCUUGCACGUAGCUUAGGUAGUUGCUUUCAAUUUCAAGUCGAUAUGCUUGGGUGUGACGUUUCGGCAUUUUCAUAUGUUAAAAAUGUACUAUAGGGGAGGCAUACCUGUUGAAUCCCUGCCCAAGCCUUGUCGUACUCUUUGCAGUCUAUGCUUUCUUAUUGCAAUUGACAGUCUUCAAUGCUUGUUUUAACAACGUUUUCAAUCAAUUUAAUCAUCUUUCAUGUUUUCUAAAACUAUUUUUCCAAGAACGUGAGGGGAGGUUGAAGUAUGUGUUAAAGUUGUCUGCGAUUUGCAGAUUUUGAUCGGCUGACUUGUUCGCCGAGCUAGAACAAGUGCCGCACAAUCGUUCACAUCGUGUUUGAAGGGUUACACAGUAAAGGAAGAGUAAGAAUUUGAGUGGAGAAACUCCAAUUGGGAUCAACACGUGGGCAACAACAUGGCUUCUCACCAACAUGAGAACUCAAAAGAGACAGCAGAUAUUCUAGAGAAGCCAAUGAACUCUUGGGAUGUGAAUCUGCACUUUCCUGCAAUAGUUUGAGUGUGAAUUAGUUCUCUGAAAACACCUGCAGAGGAUAAUCCACGGCAAAACAGAAUAACUAUAAAAAAACCACUUGCAAGUAGAAGAAAAAGGAAGUACAUUUAUACCUUCCCUGUCAAAGUGAUAUCCCUCAUCAACGGAUAUGCAUUUCUUUCCAGGAAGUAGCCAACAAUUUUACAAACCCAUGGGAGUUUAGGUUGUAAUAAGAAAACAAUUGUGUCCAACAAUAGAGUUGCAGGUGUGUUAGAGUUCACAGGUGCAGCCAAAAGUUGAUUCCUCAAUUGGUUUCUAUCAAGAACAACAUCAAGUAAGAAUAAUUCGGAGGAAAAAUAAAGGCAACUUAUCAUAUAUAUAAAUAUGAUUAGUCUGAAUUCGUUUGCGGAAGGUAAAAAAACCUUUAUGUCAAUUAUAUAUAUCUGAACAAAAUCUAAGAAAUAUAUCACUUUUCAACAAAAGAAAUAUAUCAUAUACAAUUAAAGGAUCAUAGCAUAGAAAGCCAACAAAAUCAACAAUGAUAGAUCAAACAUCUGUUUUUCCAUUCAAAACGUUAAAAAGGAUAAGUUUUUAAUAAGGAAUGUUGAAAUGGAAAAAACUAAUUACCUAUUAUGGUGUACAAUCUGGAUGCAAGCAUAUGCAAAUUUCUUAACUCUGUAAUCCACUAAGGCCUUGUUAAGUACAUAAUCCUUGCUAGCGAAAAUGCUCAACAUAUCCCCUAUAUAUGUAAGAGAGAGAAAGGUUAGAAAGUACUAACACUAAGAGAUAUGUGCUAUCAAUUAGAAACACUUUAAGAUGACAUUAUCAAUUAGAAAACCAAGUAUUAAGCAACAUAAGGGAAAAUAACAAACAAGGGCACCACAGUGGUUCAGAAACCAAUCAAUAUUUCCAUUUGUCACUUUUAUAAUAAUUUCCCAAGGGAAAAUCCUCAUAAUAAGCUUGAGUACCACCUAAUAACGUGUUCAAAUGUUACCAUAAGCAAAAAUGAGUGAUCCUAAAAUUCAUAUGACAAGGAAAGUCGUCAACUAGCAACCGCCAAAUAACAGUUAUAUGGCUAGAAUUAGUUUUCUCCAACUUCAAGAAAAUAAAACAUAUUAAAACAAAAGGAAUUAUGGUGCAAAAUAAUGAAUAUGCCUGCAAAGGUAAGAAGUUUCUGAAGGUAAAAAUGGUCAAUAAAAAACAACAUAUAAUUUGACGUAAAUCAAAGUAGAAUUAUUUCUCGCAAUGAAUUCUCUGCCAAUAAUGGCUAAGAGAAGGGGUAUUUAUUGAGAAUUAGUUGGCCAGGCAGAAAUCAUCUAGGGCAUAGUAUUGUUUUAGGUCUGCGACAUUAAAAACAUAAUGAAUGUGUAAGUCUGGUGGUAGUUCUAUUUUGUAAGCAUUAUCUCCGAUCCUCUUUAGGACACGGAAUGGUCCUAAUUGUCUGUCUUUUAGUUUGUUGUAUGUUUCGGUUGGAAAUCGAUUUUUUCUUAG